This 84685-nucleotide long non-coding RNA is filed under the name Triticum aestivum (bread wheat). Its description in RNAcentral is "long non-coding RNA (TAES_LNC028373)". The record is from RNAcentral. Lineage: Eukaryota; Viridiplantae; Streptophyta; Magnoliopsida; Poales; Poaceae.
AAGGCCAGGGCAUCAUCCAACCUCAACAACCAGCUCAAUUGGAGGCGAUCAGGUCAUUGGUGUUGCAAACUCUUCCAACCAUCUGCAAUGUGUAUGUCCCACCUGAGUGCUCCAACAUCAGGGCACCAUUUGCCAGCAUAGUCGCGGGGAUUGGUGGCCAAUGAAAAAAGCAAGAGCUAUACUAAUAGAUAGAUGGAUCCUCGUUGCUUAGCAGAUGCACCAAUCGAUGUAACGAUGACAAAUAAAGUGGCACGUACCAUCAUGUGUGACCCCGACCAGUGCUAGUUCAAGCUUGGGAAUAAAAGACAAACAAAGUUCUUGUUUGCCAGCAUUGAUUGUCAUUGUUCCAUUCACUGUGUAUUUAGUUGUUCAUCCCUAACCGCAGUUCUAGGCUUACACAUCAAUGGCUAUUUGCUCGUGCCGGCAGGUUCCUAUGUAAUCUACCGACUAAUGGUCGGCCUAUUGACCCAGUUUAUAGGCCGAUUGAUAUAUUAAUUGCUGCUCCCAAACUGACCGACCAGCUAUUAGUUACCAUUUUGCUGAACAUUGCACACAAUAAUAACUCAACAUAUUUUAAUGUCUAGAAGUAAAAGGGCCAUUUUAGCAGCAAAACAAGCGCCUGAUUAGGAACCAUCCAGCACUUUAAAUGUUCACCUAGAUAUUUCUACGUUGAUGCAAUUUUGAGAUUGGUGGCACCGAAACAUUCCUCAAAGCAAUUCUUUAUGGGACUCCAAAGAGGUGAAAAUAAAGUAAAGUUGCCACAUGGUAAAAUAUAAAUCAUGCGGCGAGCAAGAGCAAAUAUUGAGUCAUGAUAGCAAGCGCCAAACAUGCCAUUAAACUCUUCAUAUGGUUCCGUGCAGAGAAGGGGGAAAAUUGUUGGGGAACGUAGUCAUUUCAAAAAAAAUCCUACGCACACGCAAGAUCAUGGUGAUGCAUAGCAAUGAGAGGGGAGAGCAUCGUCCACCUACCCUCGUAGACCGUAAGCGGAAGCGUUAUGACAACGCGGUUGAUGUAGUCGUACAUCUAUAUGAUCGACCGAUCCUAGUACCGAACGUACGGCACCUCCGCAAUCUGCACACGUUCAGCUCGGUGACGUCCCAUGAACUCACGAUCGAGUAGAUCUUCAAGGGAGAGUUCCGUCAGCACGACGGCGUGAUGACGGUGUUGAUGAAGCUACCGACGCAGGGCUUCGCUUAUGCACUACUAUGAUAUGACCGAGGUGGAUUAUGGUGGAGGGGGCACCGCACACGGCUAAAGAUCAAUGAUCAACUUGUGUGUCUUGGGGUGCCCCCUGCCCCCGUAUAUAAAGGAGAAAGGGGGGAGGCGGCCGGCCAAGGAGGAGGGCGCGCCAAGGGGGGAGUCCUACUUAGGACUCCUCUUUCCUAUUAGGAGUAGGAGAAGGGGGAAAGGAAGGAGAGGAGGAGAAGGAAGGACGGGGCACCGCCCCUUCCCCUAGUCCAAUUCAGACUAGGCUUGGGGGGGGGGGCGGCCCAGCCCUAGCCAGCCCCUCUCUCUCCCUCUCUCUCCCUGAAGCCCAUUAACGCCCAUAAGAUCCCCGGGGGGUUCCGGUAACCUCUCGGUACUGUGGUAUUUAUCCGGUGUCCGAAUAUAACCUUCCAAUAUAUCAAUCUUUAUGUCUCGACCAUUUUAAGACUCCUCGUCAUGUCCGUGAUCAUAUCUGGGACUCCGAACUACCUUCGGUACAUCAAAACACAUAAACUCAUAAUACCGAUCGUCACCGAACGUUAAGCGUGCGGACCCUAUGGGUCCGAGAACUAUGUAGACAUGACCGAGACACGUCUCCGGGUUUAACCAAUAGCGGAACCUGGAUGCUCAUAUUGGCUCCUACAUAUGUUGGGGAACGUUGCAUAAAAUAAACUUUUUCCUAUGUUCACCAAGAUCAAUCUAUGAGUUCAUCUAGCAACGAGAGAGGGGAGUGCAUCUACAUACCCUUGUAGAUCACGAGCGGAAGCGUUCAAGAGAACGGGGUUGAGGGAGUCGUACUCGUCGUGAUCCAAAUCACCGGAGAUCCUAGCGCCGAACGAAUGGCACCUCCGCGUUCAACACACGUACGGUUAGCGUGACGUCUCCUCCUUCUUGAUCCAGCAAGGGGGAAGGAGAGGUUGAUGAAGAUCCAGCAGCACGACGACGCGGUGGAGGAUGCAGCAGAGUUCCGGCAGGGCUUCGCCAAGCGACUACGGGAGGAGGAGGUGUAGCAAGGGGGGAGGGAGGCGCCAAGACUUCAGGGUGCAGCUGCCCUCCCCUCCCCCUCCUUUAUAUAGGCCCCCUGGAGGGUGGCGCCGGCCCUGGAGAUGGGAUCUCCCAAGGGGGCGGCGGCUAGGGGGGUGGAGUGCCCCCCAAGGCAAGUGGAGGCGCCCCCCCCCCCCACCCUAGGGUUUCCAACCCUAGGCGCAGGGGGGCCCAAGGGGGUCGCACCAGCCCACCAGGGGCUGGUCCCCUCCCCACUUCAGCCCACGGGGCCCUCCGGGAUAGGUGGCCCCACCCGGUGGACCCCCGGGACCCUUCCGGUGGUCCCGGUACAAUACCGGUGACCCCCGAAACUCUCCCGAUCACCGAAACUGCACUUCCUAUAUAUAAUUCUUUAUCUUCGGACCAUUCCGGAACUCCUCGUGACGUCCGGGAUCUCAUCCGGGACUCCGAACAACUUUCGGUUUGCUGCAUACUCAUAUCUCUACAACCCUAGUGUCACCGAACCUUAAGUGUGUAGACCCUACGGGUUCGGGAGACACAUAGACAUGACCUAGAUGGCUCUCCGGUCAAUAACCAACAGCGGGAUCUGGAUACCCAUGUUGGCUCCCACAUGCUCCUCGAUGAUCUCAUCGGAUGAACCAUGAUGUUGAGGAUUCAAGCAACCCCGUAUUCAAUUCCCUUUGUCAAUCGGUAUUUUACUUGCCUGAGAUUCGAUCAUCGGUAUCCCAAUACCUCGUUCAAUCUCGUUACCGGCAAGUCACUUUACUCGUACCGUAAUGCAUGAUCCUGUGACCAGACACUUGGUCACUUUGAGCUCAUUAUGAUGAUGCACUACCGAGUGGGCCCAGAGAUACCUCUCCGUCAUACGGAGUGACAAAUCCCAGUCUCGAUCCGUGUCAACCCAACAGACACUUUCAGAGAUACCUGUAGUGCACCUUUAUAGUCACCCAGUUACGUUGUGACGUUUGGUACACCCAAAGCACUCCUACGGUAUCCGGGAGUUACACGAUCUCAUGGUCUAAGGAGAAGAUACUUGACAUUGGAAAAGCUCUAGCAAACGAACUACACGAUCUUGUGCUAUGCUUAUGAUUGGGUCUUGUCCAUCACAUCAUUCUCCUAAUGAUGUGAUCCCGUUAUCAAUGACAUCUAAUGUCCAUAGUCAGGAAACCAUGACUAUCUAUUGAUCAACGAGCUAGUCAACUAGAUGCUCACUAGGGACAUAUUAUGGUCUAUGUAUUCACACGUGUAUUACGAUUUCCGGAUAAUACAAUUAUAGCAUGAAUAAAGACAAUUAUCAUGAACAAGGAAAUAUAAUAAUGAUCCUUUUAUUAUUGCCUCUAGGGCAUAUUUCCAAAAGUCUCCCACUUGCACUAGAGUCAAUAAUCUACUUACAUUGUGAUGAAUCGAACACCCAUAGAGUUCUGGUGUUCAUCAUGUUUUGCUUGCGGAAGAGGUUUAGUCAACGGAUCUGCGACAUUCAGAUCCAUAUGUACUUUGCAAAUAUCUAUGUCUCCAUCUUGAACAGUUUCACGGAUGGAGUUGAAACGAUGCUUGACGUGCCUGGUCUUCUUGUGAAACCUGGGCUCCUUGGCAAGGGCAAUAGCUCCAGUGUUGUCACAGAAGAGAGUGAUUGGCCCCGACGCAUUGGGUAUGACUCCUAGGUCGGUGAUGAACUCCUUCAUCCAUAUUGAUUCAUGCGCUGCCUCCGAGGCUGCCAUGUACUCCGCUUCACAUGUAGAUCCCGCCACGACGCUCUGCUUGCAACUGCACCAGCUUACUGCUCCACGAUUCACCAUAUACACGUAUCCGGUUUGUGACUUAGAGUCAUCCACAUCUGUGUCGAAGCUAGCAUCGACGUAACCCUUUAUGACGAGCUCUUCGUCACCUCCAUAAACAAGAAACAUGUCCUUUAUCCUUUUCAGGUACUUCAGGAUAUUCUUGACCGCUAUCCAGUGUUCCUUGCCGGGAUUACUUUGGUACCUUCCUACCAAACUUACGGCAAGGUUUACAUCAGGUCUGGUGCACAGCAUGGCAUACAUAAUAGAUCCUAUGGCUGAGGCAUAGGGGAUGACACUCAUCUCUUCUUUAUCUUCUGCCGUGGUCGGGCAUUGAGCCGAGCUCAACUUCACACCUUGCAAUACAGGCAAGAACCCUUUCUUGGACUGAUCCAUUUUGAACUUCUUCAAUAUCUUAUCAAGGUAUGUGCUUUGUGAAAGACCUAUGAGGCGUCUCGAUCUACCCCUAUAGAUCUUGAUGCCUAAUAUGUAAGCAGCUUCUCCAAGGUCCUUCUUUGAAAAACACUUAUUCAAGUAGGCCUUAAUGCUGUCCAAAAGUUCUAUAUCAUUUCCCAUCAAAAGUAUGUCAUCUACAUAUAAUAUGAGAAAUGCUACAAAGCUCCCACUCACUUCCUUGUAAACGCAGGCUUCUCCAUAAGUCUGCAUAAACCCAAACGCUUUGAUCAUCUCAUCAAAGCGAAUGUUCCAACUCCGAGAUGCUUGCACCAGCCCAUAAAUGGAUCGCUGGAGCUUUCAUACCUUGUUAGCAUUCUUAGGAUCGACAAAACCCUCCGGCUGCAUCAUAUACAGUUCUUCCUUAAGAUGUCCGUUAAGGAAUGCCGUUUUGACGUCCAUCUUCCAUAUCUCAUAAUCAUAGUAUGCGGCAAUUGCUAACAUGAUUCGGACGGACUUCAGCUUCGCUACGGGAGAGAAAGUCUCAUCAUAGUCAACCCCUUGAACUUGUCGAUAACCCUUAGCGACAAGUCAAGCUUUAUAGAUGGUAACAUUACCAUCCGCGUCUGUCUUCUUCUUAAAGAUCCAUUUGUUUUCUAUCGCUCACCGAUCAUCGGGCAAGUCUGUCAAAGUCCAUACUUUGUUUUCAUCCAUGGAUUCUAUCUCCGAUUGCAUGGCUUCAAGCCAUUUGUUGGAAUCUGGGCCUGCCAUCGCUUCUUCAUAGUUCGAAGGUUCACCGUUGUCUAACAACAUGAUUUCCAGGACAGGGUUGCCAUACCACUUUGGUGUGGAACAUGUCCUUGUGGACCUAUGAAGUUCAGUAGCAACUUGAUCCGAAGUACUUUGAUCAUCAUCAUUAAUUUCCUCUCCAGUCGGUGUAGGCACCACAGCAACAUUUUCCUGAGCUGCACUACUUUCCGGUUCAAGAGGUAGUACUUCAUCGAGUUCUACUUUCCUCCCACUUACUCCUUUCGAGAGAAACUCUUUUUCCAGAAAGGAUCCGUUCUUGGCAACAAAGAUCUUGCCCUCGGAUCUUAAGUAGAAGGUAUACCCAAUGGUUUCCUUAGGGUAUCCUAUGAAGACGCAUUUUUCCGACUUGGGUUCGAGCUUUUCAGGUUGAAGUUUCUUGACAUAAGCAUCGCAUCCCCAAACUUUUAGAAACGACAGCUUAGGUUUCUUCCCAAACCAUAAUUCAUACGGUGUCGUCUCAACGGAUUAAGACGGAGCCCUGUUUAAAGUGAAUGUAGCUGUCUCUAGAGCGUAUCCCCAAAAUGAUAACAGUAAAUCGGUAAGAGACAUCAUAGAUCGCACCAUAUCCAAUAGAGUGCGAUUACGAUGUUCGGACACACCGUUACGCUGAGGUGUUCCAGGCGGCGUGAGUUGUGGAAUGAUUCCACAUUUCCUUAAGUGCGUACCAAAUUCGUGACUUAAAUAUUCUCCUCCACGAUCUGAUCGUAGGAACUUUAUCUUUCGGUCACGUUGAUUCUCUACCUCAUUCUGAAAUUCCUUAAACUUUUCAAAGGUCUCAGACUUGUGUUUCAUCAAGUAGACAUACCCAUAUCUACUCAAGUCAUCAGUGAGAGUGAAAACAUAAUGAUAUCCUCCGCGAGCCUCAACGCUCAUUGGACCACACACAUCAGUAUGUAUGAUUUCCAAUAAGUUGGUUGCUCGCUCCAUUGUUCUGGAGAACAGAGUCUUGGUCAUUUUGCCCAUGAGGCAUGGUUCGCAUGUGUCAAAUGAUUCAUAAUCGAGAGACUCUAAAAGUCCAUCAUCAUGGAGCUUCUUCAUGCGCUUGACACCAAUGUGACCAAGGUGGCAGUGCCACACGUAUGUGGGACUAUCGUUACCAACUUUACAUCUUUUGGUAUUCACACUAUGAAUAUGUGUAACAUUACGUUCGAGAUUCAUUAAGAAUAAACCAUUGACCAUCGGGGCAUGACCAUAAAAUAUAUCUCUCAUAUAAAUAGAACAACCAUUAUUCUCGGAUUUAAAUGAGUAGCCAUCUCGUAUUAAACGAGAUCCAGAUACAAUGUUCAUGCUCAAACUUGGCACUAAAUAACAAUUAUUGAGGUUUAAAACUAAUCACGUGGGUAAAUGUAGAGGCAGCGUGCCGACGGCGAUCACAUCGACCUUGGAACCAUUCCCGACGCGCAUCGUCACCUCGUCCUUCGCCAGUCUCCGCUUAUUCCACAGCUCCUACUAUGAGUUACAAAUAUGAGCAAUGGCACCGGUAUCAAAUACCCAGGAGUUACUAUGAGUACUGGUAAGGUACACAUCAAUUACAUGUAUAUCACAUAUACCUUUAGUGUUUUCGGCCUUCUUGUCCGCUAAGUAUUUGGGGCAGUUCCGCUUCCAGUGACCCUUCCCUUUGCAAUAAAAGCACUCAGUCUCAGGCUUGGGUCCAUUCUUUGACUUCUUCCCGGCAACUGGCCUACCGGGUGCGGCAACAUCCUUGUCGUCCUUCUUGAAGUUCUUCUUACCCUUCCCUUCUUGAACUUGGUGGUUUUAUUGACCAUCAACACUUGAUGUUCUUUCUUGAUUUCUACUUCUGUUGACUUUAGCAUUGAAAAUACUUCAGGAAUAGUUUUCACCAUCCCCUGCAUAUUGUAGUUCAUCACAAAGCUCUUGUAGCUUGGUGGGAGCGACUGAAGGAUUCUGUCAGUGACCGCCUUGUCCGGGAGGUUGAUGUCCAGCUGGGACAGGCAGUUGUGCAACCCAGACAUUUUGAGUAUGUGCUCACUGACAGAACUAUUUUCCUCCAUCUUACAACUAUAGAACAUGUCGGAGACUUCAUAUCUUUCGACCCGGGCAUGAGCUUGGAAAACCAGUUUCAGCUCCUUGAACAUCUCAUAUGCUCCGUGUUGGUCAAAAUGCUUUUGGAUCCUCGGUUCUAAGCUGUAAAGCAUGCCGCACUGAACGAGGGAGUAAUCAUCAGCACGUGACUGCCAAGCGUUCAUAAUGUCUUGGUUCUCUGGGAUGGGUGCAUCACCUAGUGGUCCUUCUAGGACAUAUGCUUUCUUAGCAGCUAUGAGGAUGAUCCUCAGGUUCUGGACCUAGUCCGUAUAGUUGCUUCCAUCAUCUUUCAGCUUGCUUUCUCUAGGAACGCGUUGAAGUUCAUGUUGACAUGAGCGUUGGCCAUUUGAUCUACAAGACAUUUUUGCAAAGAUUUUAGACUAAGUUCAUGAUAAUUAAGUUCAUCUAAUCAAAUUAUUUAAUGAACUCCCACUCAGAUUUGACAUCCCUCUAGUCAUCUAAGUGUUACACGAUCCGAGUCGACUAGGCCGUGUUCGAUCAUCACGUGAGACAGACUAGUCAUCAUCGGUGAACAUCUCGAUGUUGAUCGUAUCUUCCAUACGACUCAUGUUCGACCUUUCGGUCUCUGUGUUCCGAGGCCAUGUCUGUACAUGCUAGGCUCGUCAAGUUUAACCUAAGUGUUUUGCAUGUGUAAAACUGUCUUACACCCGUUGUAUGUGAACGUAGGAAUCUAUCACACCGGAUCAUCACGUGGUGCUUCGAAAUGACGAACUUUAGCAACGACGCACAGUUAGGGAGAACACUUUCUUGAAAUUAUUAUAAGGGAUCAUCUUAUUUACUACCGUCGUUCUAAGUAAACAAGAUGCAUAAACAUAAUAAACAUCACAUGCAAUUAUAUAGUAGUGACAUGAUAUGGCCAAUAUCAUAUAGCUCCUUUGAUCUCAAUCUUCGGGGCUCCAUGAUCAUCUUUGUCACCGGCAUGACACCAUGAUCUCCAUCAUCAUGAUCUCCAUCAUCGUGUCUCCAUGAAGUUGCUCGCCAACUAUUACUUCUACCACUAUGGCUAACGGUUUAGCAAUAAAGUAAAGUAAUUACAUGGCGUUAAAUCAUUGACACACAGGUCAUACAAUAAUUAAGACAACUCCUAUGGAUCCUGCCGGUUGUCAUAUUCAUCGACAUGCAAGUCGUGAUUCCUAUUACAAGAACAUGAUCUCAUACAUCACAAUAUAUCAUUCAUCAUUCAUCACAACUUUUGGCCAUAUCACAUCACAAGGCAAUUGCUGCAAAAACAAGUUAGACGUCCUCUAAUAGUUGUUGCAUCUUUUACGUCGCUGCAAUAGGGUUCUAGCAAGAACGUUUUCUUACCUACGAAAAAGCCACAACGUGAUUUGUCAACUUCUAUUUACCCUUCAUAAGGACCCUUUUCAUCGAAUCCGCUCCAACUAAAGUGGGAGAAACAGACACCCGCUAGCCACCUUAUGCAAGUAGUGCAUGUCAGUCGGUGAAACCUGUCUCAUGUAAGCGUACGUGUAAGGUCGGUCCGGGCCGCUUCAUCCCACAAUACCCUGAAGCAAAAUAAGACUAGUAGCGGUAAGAAAGUUGACAACAUCUACGCCCACAACAGAUUUGUGUUCUACUCGUGCAAUAGAGAACUACGCAUAGACCUAGCUCAUGAAGCCACUGUUGGGGAACGUUGCAUAAAAUAAAAAAUUUCCAACGUUCACCAAGAUCAAUCUAUGAGUUCAUCUAGCAACAAGAGAGGGAGUGCAUCUACAUACCCUUGUAGAUCGCGAGUGGAAGCGUACAAGAGAAUGGGGUUGAGGGAGUCAUACUCGUCGUGAUCCAAAUCACCGGAGAUUCUAGCGCCGAACGGACGGCACCUCCGCGUUCAACACACGUAUGGUCAGCGUGACGUCUCCUCCUUCUUUAUCCAGCAAGGGGAAAGGAGAGGUUGAUGAAGAUCCGGCAACACGACGGCGUGGUGGUGGAUGCAGCAGAGUUCCGGCAGGGCUUCGCCUAGUGACUACGGGAGGAGGAGGUGUAGAAAGGGGGGAGGGAGGCGCCAAGACUUCAGGGUGCGGCUGCCCUCCCCUCCCCCUCCUUUAUAUAGGCCCCUUGGGGGGGAGCCGGCCCUGGAGAUGGGAUAUCCAAAGGGGGCGGCGGCCAGGGGGGUGGAGUGCCCCCCAAGGCAAGUGGAGGCGCCCCCCCACCCUAGGGUUUCCAACCAUAGGCGCAGAGGGGGGCCAAGGGGGCACACCAGCCCACCAGGGGCUGGUCCCCUCCCCACUUCAGUCCACGGGGCCCUCCAGGAUAGGUGGCCCCACCCGGUGGACCCCCGGGACCCUUCCGGUGGUCCCGAUACAAUACCGGUGACCCCCGAAACUCUCCCGAUGGCCGAAACUGGACUUCCUAUAUAUAAUUUUAUCUUUGGACCAUUCCGGAACUCCUCGUGACGUCCGGGAUCUCAUCCGGGACUCCGAAAAACUUUCGGUUUGCUGCAUACUCAUAUCUCUACAACCCUAGUGUCACCGAACCUUAAGUGUGUAGACCCUACGGGUUCGGGAGACACGUAGACAUGACCGAGACGGCUCUUCGGUCAAUAACCAACAUCGGGAUCUGGAUACCCAUGUUGGCUCCCACAUGCUCCUCGAUGAUCUCAUCGGAUGAACCAUGAUGUCGAGGAUUCAAGCAACCCCGUAUUCAAUUCCCUUUGUCAAUCGAUAUUUUACUUGCCCGAGAUUCGAUCGUCGGUAUCCCAAUACCUCAUUCAAUCUCGUUACCGGCAAGUCACUUUAAUCGUACCAUAAUGCAUGAUCCCGUGACCAGACACUUGGUCACUUUGAGCUCAUUAUGAUGAUGCACUACCGAGUGGGCCCAGAGAUACCUCUCUGUCAUACGGAGUGACAAAUCCCAGUCUCGAUCCGUGUCAACCCAACAGACACUUUCGGAGAUACCUAUAGUGCACCUUUAUAGUCACCCAGUUACGUUAUGACCUUUGGUACACCCAAAGCUAUCAGGACCCCGACUCAAUGCCACAUCGAUCUAGCAUGUAACACCUCAUAUCACUUUGCGGCCUCACGCACGGUAUUCCCACGGGUGUCGUCUUACCUUUGCCCGGGACCGUUUGCACCUUUUGGCACACGUAUAUGAUAGUGUUGCUGGCAUCCAUAUGGUAAGGAGCCCGGGCUGACAUGGCUAGUCGUAAACCCAAAGUGGCACAGACUUACAGGGACAGGCAUCCAUGACCCAGCAUCGAACGUGUCGGUCAUCAGCAAGUGAAUCCGGGCUUUAGCACCGGGCUAGCAGGACUCCGGUAAACCGUGCUGCAGCGGGCUAACAGGACUCCGGUAUUCAUCGCAUGACAUUUCGCCGAAGGGACAGACACAGGAACGAAGAAGGCACAUGCCGGCCAGCCUAAGUGUUCCGGAGCAGUAGCAAGCUACCAUGGCUCAGUGGAAGCACUAGGAGACAUUUCCCGGUAAGAGAGGCUACUAAGGAUAAACAACUAGAUAGUCAGAUCCCACACAUACCAAGCAUUUCAAUCAUACACACAAUAUGCUCGAUAUGUGCAAAUACAACAAGGCAUCACAACAUGACUCUACAACACAAGUACUUUAUUUAAAGGCUCAGAGAGCCAUACAUAGUAUACACACAAGUACGGGUCACAUGACCCACAUUCAAGUAAUACAAGCAUACAAGCCAACAGCGGAAGUAACUUGUCUGAGUAGAGACAACUAGUAAAAUAAAAGAGGCCUGGGUAAGCCUAGCUAUACUACAUGGUCCUUCACAAGCUCAGGAUCACCACCUGGGCCUCAGUCUACUCAUCGAUGUCAACGUCUACGAAGAACCUGUCAGAAGGGGUUGUAGCAUCUUCUGUAAAAUGUAAAUUAGAGCAACAUGAGUACAAAGGUACUCAGCAAGACUUACAUCAGAUCCUACAUACAUGCACAUUAUCAAGAAGGGUUGGUGGGGUUAUUGCAGCAAGCCAGCUUCGACUCUUGGCUAAGCUAUCCUAUGAGACUCCAACUUGAAAUGGUUUUGCACACACGAGUCCACUACUCACCACUUCAAUACACAACCGAGGAUUCACCUCCGUCUUCCUACGGAAGAGCCAUCCUCGGCACUCACAAUUAUCUUGAGGCUUUUAGUAGUUUCCAUUUACUUGUCUAUGAACUGUUAUAGGCAACACAGAAGUCCUUUACCGCGGACACGGCUAUUCGAAUAGAUCAUUUAUAACCCUGCAGGGGUGUACUUCUUCAUACAUGUUUCCACCACUUAGCAUCUGCACACGACAUGUGCUCGGCAGACUUCAAGCGAAAGCGAAAGCCUAAACACUCAAGUCUCUAGUCCAGGUUUAUCGCCUAUUCAGGUUCCAUCCGCAGGGAGUCCGUCCGAGGUUUCCACAUACGGCCCCGAACGAUGUGUAUAGGGUUCCGUGACACCAAACAGGCGCCCGGUAUACCCGGCCACGUGCCUACCGCAUCACAGCCCACCCCUUCGAUCAGCGUUGCGCACGACCUCCAGCAUACUACAAACACCAGAAACUACUUGCAACUCCUGGACAGAGGACAAGGGUGAUUAAGAAGUCGAGCAGGGUCAUAUUUCAGGGCCCAAUGCAUGGUAGUAGCUGAACCAUGGAUCACAAACACAGAACUCAGUUCCUGAGGACGGCUUCAAUGAGACAAUCCACCAUGUACUCCUACAUGGCCUCUCAUAGCUACCUUUACCAAAUCCUGUUCACACACUUAGCUCACACUCAGUAGAAUAUGUUCACGCACCUCUGAUUCAUCCCCGAUGAAUCAGACCUGACUCAACUCUAAGCAAUAGCAGGCAUGACAAACAAACAUGAAUGAGUAGGCACAACAGGGCUCAAACAACUCCUACUCAUGCUAGUGGGUUUCAUCUAUUUACUGUGGCAAUGAUAGGUCCUGCAGAGGAUAAAGGGGUUCAGCUACCGCAGCAAGUAACAGAUGAAUCAUUGCUGUCCUAAUGCAGUAAAAGAGAGCAGGAGCGAGAGAGUAGGAUUGUAUCGAAAUGAACAAGGGGGUUUUGCUUGCCUGGCACUUCUGAAGAUAGUAUACUUCUUCAUCGGUGUCAGCGAUCACAACGUCGGUACAACGUCUACCGAGGGGGAACAACACUGGCAAACAGAGAAGAAACACGAUCAAUGCAAUGCACAAUAUGAUGCCUGCUAUGACAUGGCAAUAUGAAUGUGUUUUGGGCUAAUGCAAGCUAGAACAGAUUGAGAUGAGUCCAUUUGAACCAAAGAUUCAAAUGCAAACCCAUUUUAAGAGGUCAUAAUAGUGUAUUAACUUGUUUCACCUAAACAGCAAGGUUAAUGUGUUCUAACAUGCAUGAAACCAGUGCAGAUGGAUAGAUUGGAUUUUUUUGAUCAUUUUUCAUAUAUAAAUUAUUUCAUUCUAAGUUACGGUUAAAUUUCUAUGAAUUUUAGAAGUUUAGAGCAUUUUCUGGAAUUUCCUGUAUAAAAAUAAAUCUAGAAAAUACUUAUUGCGUCAGCAUUGCGUCACUCUGACGUCAGCAGUCAACGAGGCCGGUCCAGGUCAAACCUGACGUGUGGGGUCCACACAUCAGUGACACGGUUAACCAACAGGGUUAAUUAAAAUUAAACUAAACCUAAUCUAGUUUAGUUAAGGCCUGGGCCCACAUGUCAGAGGCUAACCUAACUAACUAAGUUAAUUACCGCUCAUUAAUCUAUCGCUUAAUUAAGCAGGGGCCUGGCCCACACGUCAAUGAGUCAGGGGGAAGUCAAACCCCGGUCAAACCCGCCGGACCUGGUCCACGGCUCGUCGCCGGCGACGACAGAGACAACGAGGCGGCUCGGGAAUGCUCUACAGGGCACCGUUUUACUCGUGGUUUGCGGCUACGGCUAGCUAGCAAUGCGGCGCAUCUAAUGGAGCGAAUGGGUGGAGCUGGGGUGGCCUGAGCCGACGGCGGCGAGCUCCAAGGCGGCGGCCGGAGUUCGGGCAAUGACGGGUUUGGCGCCACAGUGCAUGGGAGGAGGAGCUGGUGGGCGCUACGGGCUCUUGGGGGUGCACUGGGUGUAGUGACGCGCUCGGUUUGGACGGAGGUGAACUAAAAUGACGACAGCGACAAGUCUGGCACCAGUGAGGUUUCGGUCUCGACGGAAACGAGGGCUACGAUGAGCUAAUGGACAUGUGAGUAGGGGGGUCAGUAAAGGAGCUUACGGCGAGUGCAGAGGUGGCCUCGGCGUGCUCGGGGAAGCACUGGAGCGAGCGGUGCGGCGAGAGGGAUCUCCGGCGGCCGGUGACGAAGAUGAUCAAGAUGGCGUCAAUCCAGGGCCUCCGGCGAUGCGUGGCUAGACGGAGAGGACGAGGGAGGCGUGGCGAUGCUCGUGGACACGUCGGAGAGGCUCGGGGUUGGCUGCGGCUGCGGCUAUGGCGAACGGCGGCGGCGGUGGCGUUCGGUGGUGAGAGGGAGAGAGAGUAGAGGAGGGGGAGGAGCAUGGGGAGAGUGAGAGAGAGCCACAGGGGUUGCGUGUCGACGUCCAUGGCAUCCAGAGGGACGUCGGGAGGCGGUGGAAAGCUGGAGGUGGCCGAGGGGCGUGGGCGUGAAUGGCGGCCACACGCCUCUCAUCCUACUGGCGAGAGGUGGGAGAUGACUGGCAGAUGGGCCUGGUGGGCUGCUACAGUGCCAGGCCGGCCAGGUAAGCGCCAGGUAUUCUCUCUCUCUCUCUCUUUUGUUAAUGUUUUUCUAUUUUUCUGUAACUUCAGGGCUUUAUUAAAAAUGCCAGGGCAUUUCCAAAAAUCAUGAAACUAAUCAUGGCUACUGUUUAGAAUAUAUCCAACAGUAAACAUUUUAGUUUAUGAUUAUUUGAGCAUUUAAAAUAUUUUAUAGCACUUAAAUGCCCAAAUGCAAAUACUAUAGGAUUUAAUUUAGAAAUCCAGAAUGGCCUAGAAAUAUGUGCAUGACAUUUGGCAGAGGUUUUCACCUUUGACCGAAAUCAUGAACUUUUCUAAAGGGCAUUUGGGAUCACUAAAAAUAUUAUUUUUUUGAACCUAGUUGAAUUCAUUUGGUGCUAGGGUUUCAACAAUCCCCAUUUCAAGUUUCAUGAAAUUUAAACAUGAUGCAUGGAUGCAAAGUCACUAGUUACGAGCAAACUCUAGGGCUGUGAUAACUCACCCCCACUAAACAAGAAUCUCGUCUUGAGAUUCAAGACGUGAGGUAAGAAGACAAAGGGGGCACAAAACCAACACAAUCUUCAUGAUCCAGGUUGCACCUCAUAAGGUUGUUGAUUCGUUGCAUACAUUGAUCUUGACAUCCUCGCUUUUGAGAUCUUCAUCCAUGCGAUGACGACGGAAAGGAACUCUACUAGGAUUGAUCUUCUCAAAGACCGAAUUAUACAAUCUCAACUCGCGGAGUGAGAUGUUGAAACACCUUGAGUUGAGACACAAAACACAUCGAGAGGGAUGGAAGAACAAACGACGGGGUUUGAUUUGGUGGGAAACAAUUCCACGCUUAGAAAGAUGGUGGAUGGUGUCAAGGUGGCGAGGAAAUAAUUGCCAUGAUCCCGUAACGGGGCACCUUAGGGAAGGUGACUCGUAGGUUUGUUACCUUAAGUGGCAAAAGGAAUUAUUUUUGAUUCAGAGAUCAUUGAAACUCUUUAUACCAGCCUAAGGCAAUUCACAACAAUCGUUUGGCAGAGUACAAAGGGAUGGCAUACCCGGACUAGAAUGGAUGAUGUGGACUACCUUGUUGAAGACAACGUAAUGAAUGCUUUUUGCUUAUCAUCGGAGGUGGAGGGGACCCAUGGUAGGACCACUUCUAAAGAUGAUCCUGAACAACAAUUGCUGAGAAGGGCAGUCCAAGGAGGAUUGGCACAAGGCGGUGCAAGCUGGGAACGAAAUGCAAAUGUCGGGAAUGUUCCAACCAUCAUAUCUGCCUGAGAUUCAGAUUUGGUUGGUGUUAGGACAUUCCAGACUCAUCAAGUCUAGGAAGAAAAAUGAAAGUUUGCAACACAAAUCGAUGAGAUGACGUCGCGAGAUUCUCGGGAGAUAAACUACGAUAGCAAGCUCCAAAACAUGAGCUGGUUCUGCUAAACAUGUGUGAACACGCUGUCCCAGACAAACAUGACCACAUAGUAGUCUUAAUAUAAAACACUACCGAGUUCAGGUGGGGAACCAUCAUUGCGGAUAACGAAGUCCUUGCAUAAGUCAUGAUUCUUAAGAAGGAGCUUCUUCUCCCUGAACAAAUCAAUCAGUGGCUUGGUGUGCUAGGGAUACGUAAGCAAUGAAGAUGAUCAGUCUAUCAGACCAUAGAAUACUUCGCACAUGCAUGACUGACUUGGGAUGAUCCCGGAGGGAACAAAACUAACUUUCUCAAAUUCACGGCGGCAACUUGCACCUAAUGCGCGUGAACUUGGAGAGAGUCACUUCUUACAUCCAAGCAUAUUCUUCAUGAACGAAACACGAAGAUAAUGCUUAUAUAGUUUCCAAUACUAGCUGAAGGUUCAACACGAAUCAUGGAAGAGAUAAAAAUGUUGCUGAUGGGCUCAACAACAAUUCAUCUAGGUUUCCAUAUAAGUGGAAUUCCACAAUUAUGUGAACAAGGCGAUAGCAUCGGUCAGACCAAAGGAUAUAACGGUGUAUGCCCGAGGAAACAACCACGGGUAAGACAACAUUACGAAUAUCGUUGGUUCUGAUUUGACUUGACAAUAGCCCAUGCUCAAAUCAGAGAUUGGUUACGAUAAUAGAUCCAACAACUGAUCACAGGGACCAAUCGAUGAAGAUAUCAUCUUUCUUCAACAUACAUACAAGAUAUCACUUAACAUGAACUAAGUCGGACAAGCUUUUAUCUUCCAACUCUCCAAGUUGAUGUAUAGCUUAACCAACUAGCUCAGGGGUAUCCAACACGGAUUCUUGGAGAAAGGGUGGUUUACAAGAAUAAACCAACUUGAUCAUGAACUCAACAUAGCGGUCAGGUGACGACCUAGUGAUACUUCCGAGAAGAUAAUCAGAAAAUCAGGAACCACCGGUAUGUUACUAAGCUCGAGAGAAAUCUUGCUUUUCAGGGCAAGACGAUAUGAUCAAAUGAGCAAGGGAUUGACAAAAUCCUAACUCAACGACCGAAGAGUGCACCGGAAAUAGGGACUAGAUAGCACAAUCAACCUUAGGGUGACGAUUCAAUAAUCAACACGCUAAGAAUGAGGUUAGCGUCCAUUUAACUACCAAGCAACGGAGUUGCUAGCAGUAUUGAUUUCACACACCAUGAUUCACUUGUCAGUAUUCCGGUUGCAACAACACGGAACCGAGGAGCGAAUGAUGAUGGCAAGAAGUAUCACUACUUCAAGAAUCCAUAAGGGAAGGUGCAAUUCUCAUGACGUUCCUGACAUAAAGUGGGUAAUACUUCAGGGUAGAACAGAACAAAAGCUGAAUUAGUAUUUGAUCUGCGAUUUACAACUGCUUUGACCCGAUCCUGGAUAUGGAUGAGGUACGGGAGUUUGUUUCUCCUAGUCAUUCUAGAAUAGAAUGGCUUGACAUACCACUAGAGUAAUAGGCAUCAAUGAACGAAUGCACGCAUACUCUUGACUAUCAAUUGAUAGAUGGGGUCGGAAUACAACUAAGGAGGGACAACCCAAACGAACUUACGAUCUUCUGAGUUGUGGAUGCACAUAUUAGUAUGUCGAGCAAAGAUCAACAUUUUUCUUCCGGAUAACCCAUGCGGAGAAGGUAGGACUGGCAGAUUCACAAUAUAGAAUCGAGAACGCAUCAAGAGCACUCUGGUUGUGAUCUUUCGGUUAAACGAGGAACUUCUGCCAUAAGUAGUUCAUGGUAUUUGGAAGAAGGAAAUACCACGGACCUCGAGGACUAAUGCAAAGGUUACUAAUUUCCUAAAGGAACUAGCAAACACUAUCAUCAUGAGUAAGUGGGGUGAAUCUCGGUUCAAGAACCCAGGAAUAGAAUACCUACUACUAAGUGGCAUCACGGGAUGCUUUCGAGAAUAAAGGCCAGAAUUAUCACACCGGGAACAAAUCAUGGCUAGAUUACUAGAUGAUCCCCUAGGACACCUAGGGUCAUAAUAAUAAUUCCAACAUAUAUGUCGAGGCAAUAGAAUACUUCAACUCAGCAAUUAGUGUGAUUAACCUGGCUCAAAGGAACAUCAAAACCAGAGGGAAAUGAUUUGCAAGUGCAUCAGAUUGUUUAGAAACCUGGGAUGACUCGGACAACAUAACGGCUGUAAAUGCUCAAAAGGAAUUUUGAGACAUUUUGCAAAGAGUUGCAUAGACACUCAACAAUAUCAUAUCAAGGUUCUGGGUCCAACUUAGCAACAUAAUAGGGUAGUAGAACUGAACUAGGCUUAUAAUCAUCAAACCAAUAAGGUACUACUGAUUAGUAACACGUGAACCUGAUAGAGAGAAAAGAUCCUAAUCCUUAACCCCCGGUGGAAGAAUGGACUGACUCAGAUCAGAAUGCCAUGAGGUAAAGAAGUAAAAAGAGCCUUACGUACCAUCCCACAAUCAAUUCCCCUACAUAUAACUAAAGCAUUUCUAGACUCAACAUCGACCAGUUUGGCUUGGUAAUCCUACAGGCAGUCAGGCUCUUAUACCAAAGCUGUCAGGUCCUGAACGAUGUGUACAGGGUUCCGUGACACCAAACGGGCGCCCGGUAUACCCGGCCACGUGCCUACCGCAUCACAGCCCACCCCUCCGGUCAGCGUUGCGCACGGCCUCCAGCAUACUACAAACACCAGAAACUACUUGCAACUCCUGGACAGAGGACAAGGGUGAUUAAGAAGUCGAGCGGGGUCAUAUUUCAGGGCCCAAUGCAUGGUAGUAGCUGAAUCAUGGAUCACAAACACAUAACUCAGUUCCUGAGGGCGGCUUCAAUGAGACAACCCACCAUGUACUCCUACAUGGACUCUCACCGCUACCUUUACCAAAUCGUGUUCACACACUUAGCUCACACUCAGUAGAAUAUGUUCACGCACCUCUGAUUCAUCCCCGGUGAAUCCGACUUAACUCAACUCUAAGCAAUAGCAGGCAUGACAAACAAACAUGAAUGAGUAGGCACAACAGGGCUCAAACAACUCCUACUCAUGCUAGUGGGUUUCAUCAAUUUACUAUGGCAAUGACAGGUCAUGCAGAGGAUAAAGGGGUUCAGCUACCGCAGCAAGUAAUAGAUGAAUCGUUGUUGUCCUAAUGCAGUGAAAGAGAACAGGAGCGAUAGAGUAGCAUUGUAUCGGAAUGAACAAGGGGGUUUUGCUUGCCUAGCACUUCUGAAGAUAGUAUACUUCUUCAUCGGUGUCAUCGAUCACAACAUCGGUACAACGUCUACCGAGGGGGAACAACACCGGCAAACAGAGAAGCAACAUGAUCAAUGCAAUGCACAAUAUGAUGCAUGCUAUGACAUGGCAAUAUGAAUGUGUUUUGGGCUAAUGCAAGCUAGAACAGAUUGAGAUGAGUCCAUUUGAACCAAAGAUUCAAAUGCAAACCCAUUUUAAGAGGUCAUAAUAGUGUAUUAACUUGUUUCACCUAAACAGCAAGGUUAAUGUGUUCUAACAUGCAUGAAACCAGUGCAGAUGGAUAGAUUGGAUUUGUUUGAUCAUUUUUCAUAUAUAAAUUAUUUCAUUCUGAGUUACGGUUAAAUUUCUAUGAAUUUUAGAAGUUUAGAGCAUUUUCUGGAAUUUCCUGUAUAAAAAUAAAUCCAGAAAAUACUUAUUGCGUCAGCAUUGCAUCGCUCUGACGUCAACAGUGAACGAGGCCAGUCCAGGUCAAACCUGACGUGUGGGGUCCACACGUCAGUGACACGGUUAACCAACAGGGUUAAUUAAAAUUAAACUAAACCUAAUCUAGUUUAGUUAAGGCCUGGGCCAACAUGUCAGAGGCUAACCUAACUAAGUUAAUUACAGCUAAUUAAUCUAUCGCUUAAUUAAGCAGGGGCCUGGCCCACACGUCAGUGAGUCAGGGGGAAGUCAAACCCCGGUCAAACGGGGUCAAACCCGCCGGACCUGGUCCACGGCUCAUCGCCGGCGACGACAGAGACGAUGGGGCGGCUCGUGAAUGCUCUACAGGGCACCGUUUUACUCAUGGUUUGUGGCUACGGCUAGCUAGCAAUGCGGCGCAUCUAAUUGAGCGAACGGGAGGAGCUAGGGUGUCCUGAGCCGACGGCGGCGAGCUCCAAGGCGGCGGCCGGAGUUCGGGCAACGACGGGUUCGGUGCCAUAGUGCAUGGGAGGAGGAGCCGGUGGGCGCUACGGGCUCCUGGGGGUGCACUGGGUGUAGUGACGCGCUCGGUUUGGACGGAGGCGAACUAAAAUGACGACGGCAACAAGUCCGGCGCCGGUGAGGUUUCGGUCUCGACGGAAACGAGGGCUACGAUGAGCUAAUGGACAUGUGAGUAGGGGGGUUAGUAGAGGAGCUUACGACGAGUGCAUAGGUGGCCUAGGCGUGCUCGGGGAAGCACCGGAGCGAGCGGUGCAGCGAGAGGGAUCUCCGGCAGCCGGCGACGAAGAUGAUGAAGAUGGCGUCGAUCCAGGGCCUCCGGCGAUGCGUUGCUGUGCGGAGAGGACUAGGGAGGCGUGGCGAUGCUCGUGGACACGUCGGAGAGGCUCGGAGUUGGCUGCGGCUGCGGCUAUGGCGAACGGCGGCGGCGGUGGCGUUCGGUGGUGAGAGGGAGAGAGAGUAGAGGAGGGGGAGGAGCAUGGGGAGAGUGAGAGAGAGCCACAGGGGUUGCGUGUCGACGUCCAGGGCAUCCAGAGCGACGUCGGGAGGCGGUGGAAAGCUGGAGGUGGCCGAGGCGCGUGGGCGUGAAUGGCGGCCACACGCCUCUCGUCCUACUGGCGAGAGGUGGGAGAUGACUGGCAGAUGGGCCUGGUGGGCUGCUACAGUGCCAGGCCGGCCAGGUAAGCGCCAGAUAUUCUCUCUCUCUCUUUUGUUAAUGUUUUUUUAUUUUUCUGUAACUUCAGGGCUUUAUUAAGAAUGCCAGGGCAUUUCCAAAAAUCAUGAAACUAAUCAUGGCUACUGUUUAGAAUAUAUCCAACAGUAAACAUUUUAGUUUAUGAUUAUUUGAGCAUUUAAAAUAUUUUAUAGCACUUAAAUGCCCAAAUGCAAAUACUAUAGGAUUUAAUUUAGAAAUCCAGAAUGGCCUAGAAAUAUGUGCAUGACAUUUGGCAGAGGUUUUCACCGUUGACAGAAAUCAUGAAAUUUUCUAAAGGGCAUUUGGGAUCACUGAAAAUAUAUAUUUUUUGAACCUAGUUGAAUUCAUUUGGUGCUAGGGUUUCAACAAUCCCCAUUUCAAGUUUCAUGAAAUUUAAACAUGAUGCAUGGAUGCAAAGCCACUAGUUACAAGCAAACUCUGGGGCUAUGACAAAAGCACUCCUACGGUAUCGGUAUCCGGGAGUUACACGAUCUCAUGGUCUAAGGAGAAGAUACUUGACACUGGAAAAGCUCUAGCAAACGAACUACACGAUCUUGUGCUAUGCUUAGGAUUGGGUCUUGUCCAUCACAUCAUUUUCCUAAUGAUGUGAUCCCGUUAUCAACGACAUCUAAUGUCCAUAGUCAGGAAACCAUGACUAUCUGUUGAUCAACGAGCUAGUCAACUAGAGGCUCACUAGGGACAUAUUAUGGUCUAUGUAUUCACACGUGUAUUACGAUUUCCGGAUAAUACAAUUAUAGCAUGAAUAAAGACAAUUAUCAUGAACAAGGAAAUAUAAUAAUAAUCCUUUUAUUAUUGCCUCUAGGGCAUAUUUCCAACAACAUAUUCUACGAAGAUCUUUAUCGGUCAAACCACAUAACAACAUAGGUUCUUCCCUUUGUCAUCGGUAUGUUACUUGCCUGAGAUUCGAUCGUCGGUAUCUCAAUACCUAGUUCAAUCUCGUUACCGGCAAGUAUGUUUACUCAUUCCAUAAUGCAUGAUCCCGCAACUAACUCAUUAGUCACAUUGCUUGCAAGGCUUAUAGUGAUGUGCAUUACCGAGAGGGCCCAGUGAUACCUCUCCGACAAUCGGAGUGACAAAUCCUAACCUCGAUCUAUGCCAACUCAACAAGUACCAUCGGAGACACCUGUAGAGCACCUUUAUAAUCCCCCAGUUACGUUGUGACGUUUGGUAGCACACAAAGUGUUCCUCUGGUAUUUGGGAGUUGCAUAAUCUCAUAGUCAUAGGAACACGUAUAAGUCAUGAAGAAAGCAAUAGCAACAAACUAAACGAUCAAGUGCUAAGCUAACGAAAUGGGUCAAGUCAAUCACAUCAUUCUCUAAUGAUGUGAUCCCGUUAAUCAAAUGACAACUGUCUAUGGUUAGGAAACACAACCAUCUUUGAUUCAACGAGCUAGUCAAGUAGAGGCAUACUAGUGACACUUUGUUUGUCUAUGUAUUCACACAUGUACUAAGUUUCCGGUUAGUACUAUUCUAGCAUGAAUAAUAAACAUUUAUCAUGAUAUAUGGAAAUAUAAAUAACAACUUUAUUAUUGCCUCUAGGGCAUAUUUCCUUCAAAAUUUAGAGAUGACAAACAAAGCUUAAGUAGCAUCUGUUCUACUUGAUUGUAGAAAUUUCUUUUACCUGUAGAAUAACUCGGUUGUUAUUUCUUUAAACAUGAAGUGUGAUAUUAACUUAUCUCAAUCUAGGAACACAAAGCAAAUAUUACAUGUGCUUCUAUGGACUCCAAGCAGAUGAGAAAUCAUUUUGUCUAGAAGUUCCUUAGAAGGAUAUAAUAGUUUUGACCUAAACAAAUUUACUAUUGUACUCGUGUCUUACAAAGUUAAAGCUGAAAAUCAACAUAACCAUUGGACCCUUUGAAAGACAAGUGUAGGAAAUAAAUAGUAGGAUAUAAAUUUGAGCAGAAUGUUUGAUCAAAUACUGAACAAAUAACCCAGCAAACUACUAAAACUCGUCUAUUCUACCUUAUAUGAACUGUCACGAUGAUAAAGCUAUGAUUUUUUUUGGCAAAUAAGUAUCCUAGAACUAAUACAAGUUCAAACAAAUCAGCCACAGAUCCCCGAGCCCAUCCAACCAGAUAGCUGAAACUGAAAGAAGCAUUAGCUCGAUUAGAGCACCUACAGCGGAACUUGACAAAUUUGACCCCUGAAACGCCCGCGGACACGCGUGUUAGUAGACAUAAACCAAUCUUUAAGCAGAGCACGUCCGGCAGUCGGAUGCUCCCCAAAGUGUUGGUCCAGUCGCCGGCAAGGUAGAGUAGGGCAUGGGAUACAAGGCGGCUCACGGGACUCGAGGCGCCACCGUCCCCCAUUCCCAACUCUUCUCAGUCGGAACCCGGACAGUGCCGGUGGACGUCAGAUCGAUGAUGGAUCCUUCCUGGGACGAGCCAGCAACAUCCACCACCACGUGGUUGUGCAGCCCGAACUAGUGCACAAUAUGGGGAGCCGGAAAAUACGACUCCGCCUCCGCAACGCCCACCACCGCGAGGGCUGUCGCUGCCUCCCGCACCCGCUGCAUUGCAUGGCAGGAGCGCCGAACUAUGUUUUGCAUCGGGCGACGCCCAUGGUGCGUCCAUGGCCUCAGUGCGCCAAUGGAGGGGCUGCGCGUCCGCCACCCAUUCAAACGCCAGAUGGACCGCACCACCUUUGUGUUGGAAAUAUGCCCUAGAGGAAAUAAUAAAAGGAUUAUUAUUGUAUUUCCUUGUUCAUGAUAAUUAUCUUUAUUCAUGCUAUAAUUGUAUUAUCCAGAAAUCGUAAUAGACGUGUGAAUACAUAGACCAUAAUAUGUCCCUAGUGAGCCUCUAGUUGACUAGCUCGUUGAUCAACAGAUAGUCAUGGUUUCCUGACUAUGGACAUUAGAUGUCGUUGAUAAUGGGAUCACAUCAUUAAGAUAAUGAUGUGAUGGACAAGACCCAAUCCUAAGCAUAGCACAAGAUCGUGUAGUUCGUUUGCUAGAGCUUUUCCAAUGUCAAGUAUCUUCUCCUUAGACCAUGAGAUCGUGUAACUCCCGGAUACCGUAGGAGUCCUUUGGGUGUACCAAACGUCACAACGUAACUGGGUGACUAUAAAGGUGCACUACAGGUAUCUCCGAAAGUGUUUGUUGGGUUGACACCGAUCGAGACUGGGAUUUGUCACUCCGUAUGACGGAGAGGUAUCGCUGGGCCCACUCGGUAGUGCAUCAUCAUAAUGAGCUCAAAGUGACCAAGUGUCUGGUCACGGGAUCAUGCAUUACGGUACGAGUAAAGUGAAUUGCCGGUAACGAGAUUGAACGAGGUAUUGGGAUACCGACGAUCGAAUCUCGGGCAAUUAAAAUACCGAUUGACAAAGGGAAUUGAAUACGUGGUUGCUUGAAUCCUCGACAUCGUGGUUCAUCCGAUGAGAUCAUCGAGGAGCAUGUGGGAGCCAACAUGGGUAUCCAGAUCCCGCCGUUGGUUAUUGACUGGAGAGCCGUCUCAGUCAUGUCUACGUGUCUCCCGAAUCCGUAGGGUCUACACACUUAAGGUUCGGUGACGCUAGGGUUGUAGAGAUAUGAGUAUGCAGCAAACCGAAAGUUGUUCGGAGUCCCGGAUGAGAUCCCGGACAUCACGAGGAGUUCCGAAUGGUCCGGAGAUAAAGAAUUAUAUAUAGGAAGUGCAUUUUCAGCGAUCGGGAGAGUUUCGGGGGUCACCGGUAUUGUACCGGGACCACCGGAAGGGUCCCGGGGGUCCACUGGGUGGGGCCACCUAUCCCGGAGGGCCCCGUGGGCUGAAGUGGGGAGGGGACCAGCCCAUAGUGGGCUGGUGCGACCCCCUUGCCCCACCUACGCCUAGGGUUGGAAACCCUAGGGUGGGGGGCGCCUCCACUUGCCUUGGGGGGCACUCCACCCCCCUGGCCGCCGCCCCCUUGGGAGAUCCCAUCUCCAGGGCCGGCGCCCCCCCAGGGGGCCUAUAUAAAGGAGGGGGAGGGGAGGGCAGCCGCACCCUGAAGUCUUGGCGCCUCCCUCCCCCCUUGCUACACCUCCUCCUCCCGUAGUCGCUUGGCGAAGCCCUGCCGGAACUCUGCUGUAUCCACCACCACGCCGUCGUGCUGCUGGAUCUUCAUCAACCUCUCCUUCCCCCUUGCUGGAUCAAGAAGGAGGAGACGUCACGCUGACCGUACGUGCGUUGAACGCGGAGGUGCCGUCCGUUCGACGCUAGGAUCUCUGGUGAUUUGGAUCACGACGAGUACGACUCCCUCAACCCCGUUCUCUUGAACGCUUCCGCUCGCGAUCUACAAGGGUAUGUAGAUGCACUCCCCUCUCUCGUUGCUAGAUGAACUCAUAGAUUGAUCUUGGUGAACGUAGGAAAUUUUUUAUUUUAUGCAACGUUCCCCAACAGUGGCAUCAUGAGCUAGGUCUAUGCGUAGUUCUCUAUUGCACGAGUAGAACACAAAUCUGUUGUGGGCGUAGAUGUUGUCAACUUUCUUGCCACUACUAGUCUUAUUUUGCUUCAGCGGUAUUGUGGGAUGAAGUGGCCCGGACCGACCUUACACGUACGCUUACGUGACACAGGUUCCACCGACUGACAUGCACUAGUUGCAUAAGGUGGCUAGCGGGUGUCUGUCUCUCCCACUUUAGUUGGAGCGGAUUCGAUGAAAAGGGUCCUUAUGAAGGGUAAAUAGAAGUUGACAACUCACGUUGUGGCUUUUUUGUUGGUAAGAAAACAUUCUUGCUAGAACCCUAUUGCAGCCACGUAAAAGAUGCAACAACAAUUAGAGGACGUCUAACUUGUUUUUGAAGCAAUUGCCUUGUGAUGUGAUAUGGCCAAAAGUUGUGAUGAAUGAUGAAUGAUAUAUUGUGAUGUAUGAGAUCAUGUUCUUGUAAUAGGAAUCACGACUUGCAUGUCGAUGAGUAUGAAAACCGGCAGGAGCCAUAGGAGUGGUCUUAAUUAUUGUAUGACCUGCGUGUCAAUGAUUUAACGCCAUGUAAUUACUUUACUUUAUUGCUAAACCGUUAGCCAUAGUAGUAGAAGUAAUAGUUGGCGAGCAACUUCAUGGAGGCACGAUGAUGGAGAUCAUGAUGAUGGAGAUCAUGGUGUCAUGCCGGUGACAAAGAUGAUCAUGGAGCCCCGAAGAUGGAGAUCAAAGGAGCUAUAUGAUAUUGGCCAUAUCAUGUCACUACUAUAUAAUUGCAUGUGAUGUUUAUUAUGUUUAUGCAUCUUCUUUACUUAGAACGACUGUAGUAAAUAAGAUGAUCCCUUAUAAUAAUUUCAAGAAAGUGUUCUCCCUAACUGUGCGUCGUUGCUAAAGUUCGUCGUUUCGAAGCACCACGUGAUGAUCGGGUGUGAUAGAUUCCUACGUUCACAUACAACGGGUGUAAGACAGUUUUACACAUGCAAAACACUUAGGUUAAACUUGACGAGCCUAGCAUGUAUAUACAUGGCCUCAGAACACAGAGACCGAAAGGUCGAACAUGAGUCAUAUGGAAGAUACGAUCAACAUGGAGAUGUUCACCAAUGAUGACUAGUCCGUCUCACGUGAUGAUCGGACACGUCCUAGUCGACUCGGAUCGUGUAACACUUAGAUGACUAGAGGGAUGUCAAAUCUGAGUGGGAGUUCACUAAAUUAGAUGAACUUAAUUAUCAUGAACUUAGUCUAAAAUCUUUGCAAAAAUGUCUUGUAGAUCAAAUGGCCAACGCUCAUGUCAACAUGAACUUCAACGAGUUCCUAGAGAAAACCAAGCUGAAAGAUGAUGGCAGCAACUAUAUGGACUGGGUCCAGAACCUGAGGAUCAUCCUCAUAGCUUCCAAGAAAGCAUAUGUCCUAGAAGGACCACUAGGUGAUGCACCCAUCCCAGAGAACCAAGAUGUUAUGAACGCUUGGCAGUCACGUGCUGAUGAUUACUCCCUCGUUCAGUGCGGCAUGCUUUACAGCUUAGAACCGGGUCUCCAAAAGCGUUUUGAGAAACACGGAGCAUAUGAAAUGUUCGAGGAGCUGAAAAUGGUUUUCCAAGCUCAUGCCCGGGUCGAGAGAUAUGAAGUCUCCGACAUGUUCUAUAGUUGUAAGAUGGAGGAAAAUAGUUCUGUCAGUGAGCACAUACUCAAAAUGUCUGGGUUGCACAACUGCCUAACCCAGCUGGACAUCAACCUCCCGGACGAGGCGGUCAUUGACAGAAUCCUUCAGUCGCUCCCACCAAGCUACAAGAGAUUUGUGAUGAACUACAAUAUGCAGGGGAUGGUGAAAACUAUUCCUGAAGUAUUUUCAAUACUGAAGUCUGCAGAGGUAGAAAUCAAGAAAGAACAUCAAGUGUUGAUGGUCAAUAAAACCACCAAGUUCAAGAAGGGCAAGGGUAAGAAAAACUUCAAGACGGACGGCAAGGAUGUUGCCGCACCCGGUAGGCCAGUUGCCGGGAAGAAGUCAAAGAAUGGACCCAAGCCUGAGACUGAGUGCUUUUAUUGCAAAAGGAAGGGUCACUGGAAGCGGAACUGCCCCAAAUAGUUAGCGGACAAGAAGGCCGGCAACACUAAAGGUAUAUGUGAUAUACAUGUAAUUGAUGUGUACCUUACCAGUACUCGUAGUAACUCCUGGGUAUUUGAUACCGGUGCCGUUGCUCAUAUUUGUAACUCACAGUAGGAGCUGCGGAAUAAGCGGAGACUGGCGAAGGACGAGGUGACGAUGCGCGUCGGGAAUGGUUCCAAGGUCGAUGUGAUUGCCGUCGGCACGCUGCCUCUACAUUUACCCACGGGAUUAGUUUUAAACCUCAAUAAUUGUUAUUUAGUGCCAAGUUUGAGCAUGAACAUUGUAUCUGGAUCUCGUUUAAUACGAGAUGGCUACUCAUUUAAAUCCGAGAAUAAUGGUUGUUCUAUUUAUAUGAGAGAUAUGUUUUAUGGUCAUGCCCCGAUGGUCAAUGGUUUAUUCUUAAUGAAUCUCGAACGUAAUGUUACACAUAUUCAUAGUGUGAAUACCAAAAGAUGUAAAGUUGAUAACGAUAGUCCCACAUACUUGUGGCACUGCCGCCUUGGUCAUAUUGGUGUCAAGCGCAUGAAGAAGCUCCAUGAUGAUGGACUUUUAGAGUCUGUCGAUUAUGAAUCAUUUGACACAUGCGAACCAUGCCUCAUGGGCAAAAUGACCAAGACUCCGUUCUCCGGAACAAUGGAGCGAGCAACCAACUUAUUGGAAAUCAUACAUACUGAUGUGUGUGGUCCAAUGAGCGUUGAGGCUCGCGGAGGAUAUCAUUAUGUUCUCACUCUCACUGAUGACUUGAGUAGAUAUGGGUAUGUCUACUUGAUGAAACACAAGUCUGAGACCUUUGAAAAGUUCAAGGAAUUUCAGAAUGAGGUAGAGAAUCAACAUGACCGAAAGAUAAAGUUCCUACGAUCAGAUCGUGGAGGAGAAUAUUUAAGUCACGAAUUUGGUACGCACUUAAGGAAAUGUGGAAUCAUUCCACAACUCACGCCGCCUGGAACACCUCAGCGUAACGGUGUGUCCGAAUGUCGUAAUCGCACUCUAUUGGAUAUGGUGCGAUCUAUGAUGUCUCCUACCGAUUUACUGCUAUCAUUUUGGGGAUACGCUCUAGAGACAGCUACAUUCACUUUAAACAGGGCUCCGUCUAAAUCCGUUGAGACGACACCGUAUGAAUUAUGGUUUGGGAAGAAACCUAAGCUAUCGUCUCUAAAAGUUUGGGGAUGCGAUGCUUAUGUCAAGAAACUUCAACCUGAAAAGCUCGAACCCAAGUCGGAAAAAUGCGUCUUCAUAGGAUACCCUAAGGAAACCAUUGGGUAUACCUUCUACUUAAGAUCCGAGGGCAAGAUCUUUGUAGCCAAGAACGGAUCCUUUCUGGAAAAAGAGUUUCUCUCGAAAGGAGUAAGUGGGAGGAAAGUAGAACUCGAUGAAGUAGUACCUCUUGAACCGGAAAGUAGUGGAGCUCAGGAAAAUGUUCCUGUGGUGCCUACACCGACUAGAGAGGAAAUUAAUGAUGAUGAUCACAGUACUUUGGAUCAAGUUGCUACUGAACUUCGUAGGUCCACAGGGACACAUUCCAAACCAGAGUGGUAUGGCAACCCUGUCCUGGAAAUCAUGUUUUUAGACAACGGUGAACCUUCGAACUAUGAAGAAGCGAUGGCGGGCCCAGAUUCCAACAAAUGGCUUGAAGGCAUGCAAUCCGAGAUAGAAUCCAUGUAUGAAAACAAAGUAUGGACUUUGACAGACUUGCCCGAUGAUCAGCGAGCGAUAGGAAACAAAUGGAUCUUUAAGAAGAAGACAGACGCGGAUGGUAAUGUUACCAUCUAUAAAGCUCGACUUGUCGCUAAGGGUUAUCGGCAAGUUCAAGGGGUUGACUACGAUGAAACUUUCUCUCCCGUAGCAAAGCUGAAGUCCGUCUGAAUCAUGUUAGCAAUUGUCGCAUACUAUGAUUAUGAGUUAUGGAAGAUGGACGACAAAACGGCAUUCCUUAACGGGCAUCUUAAGGAAGAACUGUAUAUGAUGCAGCCGGAGGGUUUUGUCGAUCCUAAGAAUGAUAAUAAGGUAUGCAAGCUCCAGCAAUCCAUUUAUGGGCUGGUGCAAGCAUCUCGGAGUUGGAACAUUCGCUUUGAUGAGAUUUUCAAAGCGUUUGGGUUUAUGAAGACUUAUGGAGAAGCCUGCGUUUACAAGAAAGUGAGUGGGAGCUCUGUAGCAUUUCUCAUAUUAUAUGUAGAUGACAUACUUUUGAUGGGAAAUGAUAUAAAACUUUUGGACAGCAUUAAGGCCUACUUGAAUAAGUGUUUUUCAAUGAAGGACCUUGGAGAAGCUGCUUACAUAUUAGGCAUCAAGAUCUAUAGGGAUAGAUCGAGACGCCUCAUAGGUCUUUCACAAAGCACAUACCUUAAUAAAAUAUUGAAGAAGUUUAAAAUGGAUCAGUCCAAGAAAGGGUUCUUGCCUGUAUUGCAAGGUGUGAAGUUGAGCUUGGCUCAAUGCCCGACCACGGCAGAAGAUAAAGAAGAGAUGAGUGUCAUCCCCUAUGCCUCAACCAUAGGAUCUAUUAUGUAUGCCAUGUUGUGCACCAGACCUGAUGUAAACCUUGCCGUAAGUUUGGUAGGAAGGUACCAAAGUAAUCCCGGCAAGGAACACUGGACAGCGGUCAAGAAUAUCCCGAAGUACCACAAAAGGACAAAGGACAUGUUUCUCGUUUAUGGAGGUGACAAAGAGCUCGUCGUAAAGGGUUACGUCGAUGCUAGCUUCGACACAGAUCUGGAUGACUCUAAGUCACAAACCGGAUACGUGUAUAUGUUGAAUCGUGGAGCAGUAAGCUGGUGCAGUUGCAAGCAGAGCGUCGUGGCGGGAUCUACAUGUGAAGCGGAGUACAUGGCAGCCUCGGAGGUAGCGCAUGAAGCAAUAUGGAUGAAGGAGUUCAUCACCGACCUAGGAGUCAUACCCAAUGCGUCGGGGCCAAUCACUCUCUUCUGUGACAACACUGGAGCUAUUGCCCUUGCCAAGGAGCCCAGGUUUCACAAGAAGACCAGGCACAUCAAGCGUCGUUUCAACUCCAUUCGUGAAAAUGUUCAAGAUGGAUACAUAGAUAUUUGCAAAGUACAUACGGAUCUGAAUAUCGCAGAUCCGUUGACUAAACCUCUUCUGCGAGCAAAACAUGAUCAACACCAGAACUCUAUGGGUGUUCGAUUCAUCACAAUGUAACUAGAUUAUUGACUAUAGUGCAAGUGGGAGACUGUUGGAAAUAUGCCCUAGAGGCAAUAAUAAAAGGAUUAUUAUUAUAUUUCCUUGUUCAUGAUAAUUGUCUUUAUUCAUGCUAUAAUUGUAUUAUCCGGAAAUCGUAAUACACGUGUGAAUACAUAGACCAUAAUAUGUCCCUAGUGAGCCUCUACUUGACUAGCUCGUUGAUCAACAUAUAGUCAUGGUUUCCUGACUAUGGACAUUAGAUGUCGUUGAUAAUGGGAUCACAUCAUUAGGAGAAUGAUGUGAUGGACAAGACCCAAUCCUAAGCAUAGCACAAGAUCGUGUAGUUCGUUUGCUAGAGCUUUUCCAAUGUCAAGUAUCUUCUCCUUAGACCAUGAGAUCGUGUAACUCCCGGAUACCGUAGGAGUGCUUUGGGUGUACCAAACGUCACAACGUAACUGGGUGACUAUAAAGGUGCACUACAGGUAUCUCCGAAAGUGUAUGUUGGGUUGACACGGAUCGAGACUGGGAUUUGUCACUCCGUAUGACGUAGAGGUAUCUCUGGGUCCACUCGGUAGUGCAUCAUCAUAAUGAGCUCAAAGUGACCAAGUGUCUGGUCACGGGAUCAUGCAUUACGGUACGAGUAAAGCGACUUGCCGGUAAAGAGAUUGAACAAGGAAUUGGGAUACCGAUGAUCGAAUCUCGGGCAAGUAAAAUACCGAUUGACAAAGGGAAUUGAAUACGGGGUUGCCUGAAUCCUCGACAUCGUGGUUCAUCCGAUGAGAUCAUCGAGGAGCAUGUGGGAGCCAACAUGGGUAUCUAGAUCCCGCUGUUGGUUAUUGACCGGAGAGCCAUCUCGGUCAUGUCUACGUGUCUCCCGAACCCGUAGGGUCUACACACUUAAGGUUCGGUGACGCUAGGGUUGUAUAGAUAUGAGUAUGCAGCAAACUGAAAGUUGUUCGGAGUCCCGGAUGAGAUCCCGGACGUCACGAGGGGUUCCGGAAUGGUCCGGAGAUAAAGAAUUAUAUAUAGGAAGUGCAGUUUCGGCCAUCGGGAGAGUUUCGGGGGUCACCGGUAUUGUACCGGGACCACCGGAAGGGUCCCUGGGGUCCACCGGGUGGGGCCACCAAUCCCGGAGGGCCCCGUGGGCUGAAGUGGGGAGGGGACCAGCCCCUGGUGGGCUGGUGCGCCCCCCUUGGGCCCCCCCUCCCGCGCCUAGGGUUGGAAACCCUAGGGUGGGGGGGGCGCCUCCACUUGCCUUGGAGGGCACUCCACCCCCUGGCCGCCGUCCCCUUGGGAGAUCCCAUCUCUAGGGCCGGCUCCCCCCCAGGGGUCCUAUAUAAAGGAGGGGGAGGGGAGGGCAGCCGCACCCUGAAGUCUUGGCGCCUCCCUCCCCCCUUGCUACACCUCCUCCUCCCGUAGUCGCUUGGCGAAGCCCUGCCGGAACUCUGCUGCAUCCACCACCACGUCGUCGUGCUGCUGGAUCUUCAUCAACCUCUCCUCCCCCCUUGCUGGAUCAAGAAGGAGGAGACGUCACACUGACCGUACGUGUGUUGAACGCGGAGGUGCCGUCCGUUCGGCGCUAGGAUCUCCGGUGAUUUGGAUCAUGACGAGUACGACUCCCUCAACCCCAUUCUCUUAAACGCUUCCGCUCGCGAUCUACAAGGGUAUGUAGAUGCACUCCCCUCUCUUGUUGCUAGAUGAACUCAUAGAUUGAUCUUGGUGAACGUAGGAAAUUUUUAUUUUAUGCAACGUUCCCCAACACUUUGGUGAGGCGGUGAUGGUACACCUAGCGCCGGAUCCAUGCAUCAUUUGGGCGGACGCAUUGGAUUCCCCGCGGAAGGAGUUCGAGUGUUGCCGUUGCCAUCGGGCAGCCUCCUCCCGGGAGCGGUGGAGCGCAAGCUGGAUGGCCAGCUCCUCCUAGGAGCCGCGUGGGAUGAGUUCGGGGUUGACGGAUCUGGAGGUGUAACACUGGGAUCCGCCUCCUGCCAUGCCGAAGAAGGCCAUAAGAUCGUCGAACGGGAGCUUGGGUGGCGGCAUAGAGUGGAGUAAAGUGGCUAGGGUUUGGUCCGGCAAGCGGAUGGGGAGGAAUAUAUGUGGGGUCGGGUGGGCCAGCGUGGACCGGGACCGACAUGGCGGACGCGCCUGGGCGCCGCAUAUUCUUCCUAGAUUUGGGCUGGAUAUCAGGGGUGCUGGUUAGCUUGGGCGUUUGAGGCCCAUCUGGAUAGUUUUUCUGUGACCUGACCGUUCGUCCGGGCGUUUGAGGUGGGUUUGGGACGCCCAGGUGUAAAUGCUCUUAGACCAUGUAGUACCUUGAGGAGGAUGGUGGGUCCAUGGAACAACUACAGCCUCUCCAUUUUGUUUGGGCGCAGGGCGAUAACGGAGUUAUCUCUACUCCUAAAGAGGGAGUCGUUAGUCUCCCUUCCACGGUUUUUUUGUCUUACCUCCCAUCUUUGUUUCAUUUUUUCCGUCUCUUUUUCCACCACCGUCUGUUUUUUCUCAUCUCCACCUGGCAUGUAACGAAAAAAAAUCUGUUUCAUAGGUCGAUUGUCAAGGUCCGAGAGCCGCCGCCACCUUCAUUGCGGACCUCUAGGUCGCCGUCCGGACACACCGCCGAGGUCCGCAAUCACCGACGUUGAGGUCCGAGAGGAGCUGCCGCCCCCUUCAUUCUGGGCCUGGACGCUUCAUGGUCCUCCUACCUCUCCCUUUCCUCUCCCCUUCUCUCCCGCUUCCAUCCUCACUCGCCGCCCCUGCCUCUCNNNNNNNNNNNNNNNNNNNNNNNNNNNNNNNNNNNNNNNNNNNNNNNNNNNNNNNNNNNNNNNNNNNNNNNNNNNNNNNNNNNNNNNNNNNNNNNNNNNNNNNNNNNNNNNNNNNNNNNNNNNNNNNNNNNNNNNNNNNNNNNNNNNNNNNNNNNNNNNNNNNNNNNNNNNNNNNNNNNNNNNNNNNNNNNNNNNNNNNNNNNNNNNNNNNNNNNNNNNNNNNNNNNNNNNNNNNNNNNNNNNNNNNNNNNNNNNNNNNNNNNNNNNNNNNNNNNNNNNNNNNNNNNNNNNNNNNNNNNNNNNNNNNNNNNNNNNNNNNNNNNNNNNNUCUCUCUCUCUCUCUCUCUCUCUCUUGUUUCCUACCCCACUGGUUCUACAAUGCUGGUCGUCGCCUUGGGUUGGCGAACCUAGCUACUGUGGGUUGGGAUUCAAAUGCCACAUCAUCUUUGGGACGCGGCCGUGACGGCUUGGCCUGAUGCCUGCGAAGUAGGGCGAGCAGAGACAACAUGAGACUGCGCCGCUGUGCUGUUCGCCGUGACGCGCUGUCACGCUGUGUAGAUGGAGGAUGCGUGCCCAAGCCUUGUUGUGCCUGUCUUCCCGUGCGGUAGUCGGGAUCUGGACUGGAUCGGGGUUGAGUUCGACACCACCGAACCCCGGCUUCCAGGAGACCAGGCGCCUCCUCUCCUCAUCACCCGUCUCACCAGAGGCAUGUGCAGAAUUCCGUACACCAUCUGCGCAAACAUGGUGGUCGACGACGCUCUGGAUGUGGUCUACGUGAGGACUAGGUUCCAUCAUUAACAUGUACCCUGGCAAGGUAUGUGCUAUGGGAUGUAAACUCUCGAUUUUAUCUUCAUUUUAGUUGCCUUCAUCUCAUGCUUUGUUCGUUCCAUAGGCAUUUGUCAUGAAUCUAUUUUCAGGAGGGUGAUGUUAACGAUUUCAAAAACUUGAUAGCAGGGUAUGGCUAUAGUUAUUGGUCAUGCAUUAUCGCGAGGCUUGACAAGCAUACCAUAAAAUGGUUUUUAUUUAUGCUCUCGUAGGUUAAACCAAUCUCUGUCAUUAUGAAAUUGGCAUAGCUGAACAUGAUCAGGACUUCAGCAGGGCAGGGUCAUUACUUUGGAGUUUCAGCACUCAUAGUUGGUGAGUGCUUAUGUCCUAAAAUUUUGGAUGUGACUAAACAUAGGCUGGUAUGGCUAAUCUUUUUUGCUUUUCUGUCCUUGCUCUUCACGGAAUCUUCAGGUUUACGGAUUGAUAAUUGUGAUCUAUGUUUCAACCACUUCCCAAUGUUUUACUUGAUGAGAAGGUUCUAAUUUUAUUUUAUUUUAUUUCACUUGAUGAGAAGGGUCCAUGUUUCACCGACUUUGUACAAGUGUGUUUGCUUAGCUAGAUUUCUGCCCUUAUUUUCUAUUUGACAUCCCUCAAUCAUUUUCUGCAGAUUCACUUCGUUCGUAUUCUAUAUUGUUGUAAGUGCACCUAGGGAUAUUAUAGUAGUUCUUAUCUGCAGUUUACUACAACUGGUGACCACAUCUCCAUAUUAUUAUCUUUAAAAUGUACUUUCAAAAAGUAAACUAAUUAACGUUAACCUUCCGCUCUGUAGAAACCACAUAAUUUCAACUCAUUAAUCAUUUUUUAGCGGAAAGGCAGUAAUCAAUGAUGGCGAUUUAAACUGUACUCCUUAUAGUAUUGAUAUUCCCCAUGCACCGGUAUGUUCUCGUACAUCCGUGAAACUUCUGAGUCAAAAUGUUAUAUCCUUAUGUAUACAGUUCAUCAUUGGUUGUUACAGAAUUUCCCAGUGGGCACAACCUCAACCCACACCUCCCACCAGGAUCUUCUCUCUGCCGGAGCCAUCCUACCUGCAGCCAGCUCCCCCUCGUACGCCCUGAUCUCCACCUUGUGUGCUGGUCCAUUCAUCAUAGCUAGAAGGUAAUGACUAAUGAGCAUGUCAUCUCUGCCCCUCUCAAUUUCAUCCUUGUGUUGUUUAUUUUUCAGAGAAUGUGGUAUUAUGUAGCCCCUCUCUGUUGAUGAAUUGAAUGUAUAGAUUAUAUACUAGCAAAAGAGCCCGUGCGUUGCAACGGGAUAAUAAAACCGACGAAUUGUACUCGUGUGACUUGAGCUUUGGUUGGUUUCACACGCUUAUACUUCUUAGUUUUCUUGUAAAAUAAUAUGGCGGUAUUUAUACUAUUCAGGGUUGGUUAUCCAUCCGUCAGGUUAUUCAGGGCGUAAAUUUACGGAAAGAAGCAUAUUGUGACGGUGAAUGCGACGGAGUCAAUCCGUGCUUUAUUAUUUGGAAAAGAGAAAUAUGCCUAUGCAUUGCUACGGCUCUAGAAUAAACCUAUACAUGGUCAAAAUACAGGACAGCAACAUGUCUUCUUUUAGUUUUUUUCAAACCAUUAGAAAUAUGUUAGAUUUUACUUAAGUUUAGUUCCCUUAUUCCACCAUAAAGCAUUCCGGUUGAAAAGGAGAUGGCGUCUGUCAUUUACUUUCUAGAAAAACAUAGAGUCGAUAAACUUUCCUGUAUCUUCAGCCAUAGGUCCUUUACUCAUAUUUAAAAAAUUGUAAUAUUUAAUCCAAGCAAAAUUAUAUGAAUUACAGGAAAAAUUGUACUCAUGUGACUUGAGCUUUGGUUGGUUUCACACGCUCAUACUUCUUAGUUUUUUUGUAAAAUAAUACGGCGGUAUUUAUACUAUUCAGGGUUGGUUAUCCAUCCGUCAGGUUAUUCUUGAAGCUAGCUAGUAAUCACCAUGAGUUCAGUUGGCGUUCCAAGUAAUCACCAAGCCAAUCGACCGUGAGCAUCCGGACGUUAGCUGCGAAUGACAGACGGCUGGAUGGGCUAAUGAAGAUUAAACCUCAAUUUUGUACGCGGUAGUGCUGCAGACCUUCUGCAGUGAGACUUCGAUCAGAAGGACUUACCAGACAGGGGCACGGAGGAUUUAGAUAUCCUACUGCAGCUGCCGCUGCUCACCAAGGAGUUGCUCCCGUGCCGCUCGAAGGUCGCCAGCUCGGGGCAGAGCAGGAGCUUAAAGGCCAUGGACACGCCAGACCUGAAGGACGGCAGUGGCAAGGGUGGCGCAGGUGGGCGACGUUGCUCGCGCUCGGGGCGGACGCCGGCGGCGCUCGAUCUUGCCUAGAGCACGGAGGGGACAGGGGAGCAGGGGAAGAGGUAGGCAGUAAACCAGAUAGGAAUGGCACAUGUAUCGCAUCUGCCCUCGGCGGAGCUCCGCUCUGUCGUCAACAUCCGCGACGGACCCCACGAAGCCCAUCAUGUCGGCGUCCUUGAGGAACCGCCCCUGCUUGCCGCGGCCGACCGCAAUUUCGGAGAAAUUGGAGAUGGGGGAUCGUCCGCGGUUCGGCAACGGGUACGGGGAGGAGUCCGGGGCAAAGACUGUUCCGCUCGACCGGCCGGAGGAGCGCAGCCGCUCCGGUGGCCAGAGAUCGAGGGGGUGGCGGCGGUGUCCAACCCCCAACAGGCUGUGUUCUUUUUCUGACGGGACGAAAAAGGGGAAUCCCUUCUCUGGAACCGCUGUCGUUGCUCGACUGUGCUCCAAGCCGCCGCCGCCACCGCCGUCGCCUGAUUGCUCUCUCCCCGUCAACCCCCCCUCUCUCUCGAUCCAGCGACGCGUGUUUAGAUCGAAGCCCCCUGAAUUCCACGACCGAUCUGAUUCUAUCGAUCGAGGCAGCUCUGUUUCGAUUUGUAUAUGUACUUUUUAGGAGGAGUGUCCCGUGUUUGUUUCUGAUAGCCAUCUAUUUGUUUUAUGCUCAACAGGCCCAUUAGCCCUUGAUCUGGCCCAGGGAGUCUAGCGACCCAGGGAGUCUAGCGGGGAAGAGAGCGGGUGCGACCGAUUGGAUGCACACGACGUGGUUGGCCAUCUGAAUUAGUACCACCUUGAAUAUAUUUUAAAAUUAAAAUUGAAAACGUAAAAUCACGGAAAGAAGCGCAUUGUGACGGUGAAUCCGGAGACCCAAUCCAUGCUUUAUUAUUAGGGAGAGAUUACUAAAGAAAUCCGCCUUAAAAGGCGUUCCACUAAAAACGCAGUAGGAUCCUAUUUCAAGUUCCUUGCACUUAAACCGCAAAAGGGAAAGGCAAUUUUCCUAACUUUUCCCGUUAACGCAGAGCAGUCAGAUGAAUAACAGUAGGAUUGUUCAGUUUGUAUGCUCGUCCACUACUUCGGUUUAUUCAGGUUGCAUGAUACAGUAAUUUUGCAAAUGUGUCAGACUAUCUAUUUAGAUUAGCUAAUAGAAUUUAUUUCCACUAUGUGUUGUGCGGAGGAUAGAUCAGCAGGACUAAACAAUAUGUGUCUAACACCAUUUGCACAAUUCCCUUAAACUGCCCGCAGUAGCUGACCAAGUACCACCAAUGUUGUCAUCAGUCUUGAAGGGGAUUCAAAACCCGGUAGGAUCGCACACCGUAUGGCUUGGACAUCGGAAGAAGAUGCAAGAUUGGUAAUGAGAUUACUUGCCUCAGUGCUCAAUUUAUGAUCCUAUUCAUUUGAACUGAUUUACUUGUUUGUCUCAGCUAAUCUAUCCUCAAACGCAGACAACCAUUUGGUCGAAAACCUCAAAUGUUUCCAUCGAGAUAAUAACAAGAAGAACAUCAAGUACUGGGAUGACAUUGUUGUUACAACAAUAGUAAUAGGCCAAGUCACCGGAAGGGAGAUGCUCGUCGUGUAUGAUGGACAUGGUGGCUCGGAGGUGAGGUUAUCUUCUCUUGAAAAUCUUGACCUAGACAAAAGAAAUUAACCUUGAGGCCAUGGGAAGCAGGAAAGCGAAGGUCACGAAUGGCCGCACAAUUUGGUGGUGUUUGUGUGUUGUGCGGUCAAGCCUUUCUACGGGCUCCAUGGUGAUGCAGCAGCAUCACCUUCUUACGGAGAUGAGAUGAUGGGAUGAGGCCGCAUGGUGUUACCUAUUGUUGUUGUGUUAGCUUUGCUGUGUAUGUGUGCGUGUGAGAGAGAUCAGCGGCUGAUUGGGGAUGGUUAUGUUGUUGCUAGAUUAUAAAACAUGUCGUUUAAGUGAAUAUCAACUGUCGGAAAGAAAGCAAUGGUACUGUGAUUCUACUGUUUUAUGCUAGACGUUAAAGAAUACUACUUGCAAGCAGUUAGCGACGAACUGAGGGUUUGCAAGUAGUACUUUUUCCCAGUUGUGCUUCUACUUGCCUGAAUUUAAGUAGGAGAAAUUACCAGUUGUGUUUUUUUGAAAUAAUCUUGAUUUAACUAUGAUUUUCAGAAACUGGUACAGCUUUAACACGGUUCCUUGCUCACUGUGGUACAUUAAAACAAUAAAUUGAGGAGUUUAGAGCCUGCCUAGAGACCUCACAUAGCACCGCCUCAUUUGGCAGCGACAUCAUGAUGAUCUUGUCUGGUCUACUCCAAGUCUCCGCUUGUGGUUUGUGUUGGAAAUAUGAGCAAUUUACCGAAUGAUUUUAUUAACAAAAAUACUAGAUAAAGCAUGACUAAAAUAGGAAAUAUAAAGAAAGUCAUGCAGUCUGACAGAGAGAAGGUAAACAUCGUCUGCAUAAAUGAACUUGAGCUAAACACAUCUAGAACAGACAAUAGAUGAAGUUGCUCAUACGAAACAGAACCUAACAUACGUAGGGCAGAAACUAGAGCCAAGAACUGUAGCAGGACUUCUAACAGAAAGGAGAAGAACACGUACGGCAUAGCAGCAGCAGAAGAGCUGGACUUGGGGUCAGUGUCCUCGCCUGCCAUGUCGUCGAGGAGGUCGUGGACGUCGGGGAAGAAGUCGUCGUCGGGGAAGUAGUCGUCGGCGACCGGAUCGUCUGUGAUGAAGCAGCCAGUAGUCGCGCUGAGCGCUUCCCAAAAACCUUAUCACCCUUCUCCCGUACAUGACUCAAAAGGUGCGGUCUCUGAGGCCUACUGUCCCAACAUGCGGUGCACGCCGCAAGUCGGGAUGAGGAAGACAGCAGCAGCUCAGAGAUGGAACCGAUGGCGAGGGAAGGAGCAGUUCUGGUGCGUAUCUCUGAAAGGAGCGACCUCCCUUUUAUAGGCGCAAGAGAAGGAGGCGAGAGGCUGCGCCGGGAGCUGAAGGGAAUGUGGGAGACGAAACGAACAAGCAGCAGCUGAAGGGGCGCGCCGUUCGGAUUCAGUGUCCAGGCACAGAAAAAAACUGUUUCAGCUUCCGAGUGACCUUUCGUAUACACGUAGUGCGUGGCAAAACUUUAGACAUCGGCUCAUUCCCGCAACCCGCGGCGUGACGAGGCGGGCGGCGGAGGAGGAGCGCGCGUGGAUGUCCCUCUUGUUCUCAUGCUCAUACAAGUGGGGAAGGAGUCUCCCUUAUAAAGAGGUCCAACUCCCUCUAAACUAGCAAGGUGGGACUAAACUUUAGUUCCACCUCUUACCUUGCAUGAAUGGGCUGCGUGGGCCUCUAGGAUUUAUUAGGAAUUUCUGAAACUGCUAUUGGGCUAGGCCCAAAUAGACAAAAAUUCCAGCAGUUUGUGUUCUUUAGGUCUAUGGAAAACACCACGGUGCAUGCCAUUGUCCGUCAUUUCGGGAAAAAUGACCUAGAACAUGCAGAUAACUAAAUUUGGUGAAAGAACUGAAGAAAUCUACUACAUCACAAUAUGAAUUAAAAACAAACAAAAAAUUGGGCAGGACCUCUACAUAAAAAUGGACAGUUAUAGAAAUUUAGCGAAACGGAAAUAAAUCAACGGUUUGCCAAAAAUUUAACGCUUAUAGUAUGAAUCCCAAUAAGGAAAUGAAGACAUCUACUACAUCACAAUAUGAAUAAAACAUAAACAAAGAAAUUUGGCAUGACCUCUGCAUAAAAAUGGACAUAUUAAGUGAUUGAGAUCUGGCGAAACAGAAAUAAAUCAACGUAUCGCCAAAACUUUAGCACUUAUAGUAAGUAUACCUAUAAUGAAUUGAAGACAUCUACUACAACAUAUUAUUUAACUCAGUAUGAACAGAAAUAAUGUACGGAAUAAUACAAUAUAUAUGUGAGACUAUAUAAUUACCUCUAAUAUGAACAAAUUGGUAUUCCUUGUUCAUGGUUACGUAUGUGGCUGCUGCAACUAUAAUUGUUUUGAUGUGUGUGCCUUAAAAACUAUAGAACAAGAAACUACAACUAUAAAUGAACUCUAGUAUGAACAAAUCGAACUCAUUAACGAAUAUGAACACAUUAAUAGCAAUAACCCUAACCCUAGUCGAACGUACGUGUGCGUGUGCGUGGCGGCCGUGGCCGUGGGUGACAAGGAGGAAAGCCGGAGAGGGAGGCGCGGACGACAAUGUAUUACUGGAUGGAGCGGAGGGUGACGGGGCGGAUCGUCGGUGAGGGCGACGGGGCGGCGAAUCGAGGGCGAGGGAGACGCGCGGUGAACGGCUAGGGCGGCGACGAGUAAGCGGUGCUGAUGGCGGCAGCGGACAGGGACGACGACUUGGGUAGCAUGGAUGAGCCAACGGCGUCCGCGACGAGAUGGGGAAGAGUGGGAGUGAGAGAGUAAAUUGGGGUAGGAGGAGAGGGGGCACGUGCGUGUACGUAGGUCGAUUGAGUUUGUCGUAUGCGACCGGUGUGCCAAGCCUCCCAACACGGCUUCUUUGGGGUGGUGGGCGGAAAACCGAUUCGAUUUGGGGCAGAAUAGACAGCUAACUUAGUUGUGGCGGGUAGGGGCCCAUACCCGCCAGAGCUAAUAUCUGUAUAAAAUUUAUUUUUCUGGCGUGCAUUGCUGGCACUAAACUGUGGCCGGCCCAAUCGAGCGUCCGCCACUUUUGCAUUCAAGAACAAUGGCGGCCGAGGCUAACACCCGCCACUGAUCGCAUUCAUCAGGUGGCCAUACUCAGUGGUGCUUACUUGUGGCGGGUGGUGUUCUCCACCCGCCACUGCUACGCAUGUAACUCUGGAGGUCAUGUUGUGGCACCUGCCACUGGUACUUUUGCUAACUAGCAGUGGCAGGUGCUAUGUCCCGCCCGCCAAUCUUUCGAAUUCACCUAUAAGCCCUUUCCCAGUAGAGUAAUAAAGGACUUCUUGACAAGUCCGUGUAGAUUAAAGGUAUGUUAGUAGAUGGUGUAAUAAAUACAUGCUUUAGUGAUCUAAGGAUACAAAUAUGCCACUAUUUAUUUUGUAAAAGGUCGAAAUCAUUCUUAGAAAUCUUAGUAACAACAGUUCUCAUGAACAACUUUGACAAAAUGCAUCAAAUGUUACAAAUAAUACAUACAAACUUAGUUCAAUAAAUUAAUCAAUUGAAGUGAGAACAAACCUAAAUGUACUUAGAGUAAAUCAAUUAAUACGUGUAAAGCCAAUACUAAUCCAAUAUUUAUUAAUAAAUUUGCAUAGAAUUACAACCCUUUGACAUAGAAAGGGAAUAUGAUGAGUCAUGUAUAGAUAACUUGCACAACAUUCCUACCCUUGGCAUAAAAGGAGAAAUUGAUGAGUCAUGUAUUGAUAAUGUGCACAACAUCACUACCCUUGACAUAAAAGGAGAAUUUGAUGAGUCAUGUGUUGAUAACGUGUACAACAUUACUAUCAGUAUGUUCAACUUACCAUCAUAUUAUACAACACUACAAGUUAGUUUUAAAAAGAACAAGAGUCCAGAACGAAGAUCAGAAUACUUGCUUGAUCUAUCUUAACAACAUGCACUAGGACAAAAAUUUAGUCCCACGCAAGCUAUGAAGAUUUGUUUUAUGUAUAACUAUUUGUACAACAUGACAAACUUAGAUCCAAAAGGAAUGCAAUCCAGAUAAUUGUUUGACAUGUAAAGUGAAUAAGAUGAGUCAAUGCCAAUUAUCAAGUUUUCCUCACUCUUAGAUGAUAUGUACAAUAAAAAGACAACUUUGAUGAUCACUCUGAAAUUACGUUUGUAUGUAGUGCCACCAAACACAACAUCCCAAAUAUUAGUUUGAUAAGCAUCAAAUCACUUUUGAAAAAAGAAAGCAAUAAUGAAAAGAAACCUAACCAAGAUAGCUAUAAAAAGGCCUGCAAUAUGUAGACUCCAUACCAUCAUCCAUCCUUCACACACCUAGAGCACAAAUCAGCAAAUCCAAGUACGUAGUAGUUAACGCAAAUCGACCAUGAAGACCUUACUCAUCCUGACGAUCCUUGCGAUGGCAAUAACCAUCAGCACCGCCAAUAUGCAGGUCGACCCUAGUGGCCAAGUACAAUGGCCACAACAACAACUAGUCCCCCAACCCCAACAGCCAUUAUCCCAGCAACCGCAACAAGCAUUUCCCCAACCCCAACAAACAUUUCCCCAUCAACCACAACAACAAGUUCCCCAGCCUCAGCAACCACAACAACCAUUUCUCCAGCCCCAACAAGCAUUCCCCCAACAACCACAACAACCAUUCCCUCAGACUCAACAACCACAACAACCAUUUCCCCAGCAACCACAACAACCAUUUCCCCAGCAAUCACAACAACCAUUCCCCCAGACUCAACAACCACAACAACCAUUUCCCCAGCAACCACAACAACCAUUCCCCCAGACUCAACAACCACAACAACCAUUUCCCCAGUUCCAGCAACCACACCAACCUUUUCCCCAGCCCCAACAACAAUUCCCGCAGCCCCAACAACCGCAACAAUCAUUCCCCCAGCAACAACGACCGUUCAUUCAGCCAUCUCUACAACAACGUUUGAACCCAUGCAAGAAUAUCCUCUUGCAACAAUGCAAACCUGCGUCAUUGGUGUCAUCCCUCUGGUCGAUAAUCUGGCCACAAAGCGAUUGCCAAGUGAUGCAGCAACAAUGCUGCCAAGAACUAGCACAGAUUCCUCAGCAGCUCCAGUGCGCAGCCAUCCAUAGCGUCGUGCAUUCCAUCAUCGUGCAGCAGCAGCAACAACAACAACAACAACAACAACAACAACAAGGCAUGCAUAUCCUGCUGCCACUAUCUCAACAACAACAGUUGGGUCAAGGUACUCUCGUCCAAGGCCAGGGCAUCAUCCAACCUCAGCAACUAGCUCAAUUGGAGGCGAUCAGGUCAUUGGUGUUGCAAACUCUUCCAACCAUGUGCAACGUGUAUGUCCCACCUGAGUGCUCCAUCAUCAGGGCACCAUUUGCCAGCAUCAGGGCAUCAUCAGGGCACCAUUUGCCAGCAUAGUCGCGGGGAUUGGUGGCCAAUGAAAAAAGCAAGAUCUAUACUAAUAGAUAGAUGGAUCAUCGUUACUUAGCAGAUGCACCAAUCGAUGUAACGAUGACAAAUAAAGUGGCGUGCACCAUCAUGUGUGACCCCGACCAGUGCUAGUUCAAGCUUGGGAAUAAAAGACAAACAGAGUUCUUGUUUGCCAGCAUUGCUUGUCAUUGUUCCAUUCACCAUGUAUUUAGAUGUUCAUCCCUAACCGCAGUUCUAGGCUUACACAUCAACAGCUAGUUGCUUGUGCCGGCAGGUUCCUAUGUAAUCUACCGAUUAAUGGUUGACCUAUUAAUCCAGUUUAUAGGCCGAUUGAUCUAUUAAUUGCUGCUCCCAAACUGACCGACCAGCUAUCAGUUACCAUUUUGCUGAACAUUGCACACAGUAAUAACUCAACGUAUUUUAAUGUCUAGAAGUAAAAGGGCCAUUUUAGCAGCAAAACAAGCGCCUGAUUAGGAACCAUCCAUCACUUUAAAUGUUCACCAAGAUAUUUUUGCGUUGGUGCAAUUUUGAGAUUGGUGGCACCGAAACAUUCCUCAAAGCAAUUCUUUAUGGGACUCCAAAGAGGUGAAAAUAAAGUAAAGUUGCCACAUGGUAAAAUAUAAAUCAUGCGGCGAGCAAGAGAAAAUAUUGAGUUACGAUAGCAAGCGCCAAACAUGCCAUUAAACUCUUCAUAUGGUUUCGUGCAGAGAGGGGGGAUUUAGAGAUGACAAACAAAGCUUAAGUAGCAUCGGUUCUGAUUGUAGAAAUUUCUUUUACCUAUAGAAUAACUCGGUUGUUAUUUCUUUAACAAUGUAGUGUGAUAUUAACUUAUCUCAAUCUAGGAACACAAAGCAAAUAUUACAUGUGCUUCUAUGGAUUCCAAGCAGAUGAGAAAUCAUAUUGUGUAGAAGUUCAUUAGAAGGAUAUAAUAGUUUUGACCUAAACAAAUUUACUAUUGUACUCGUGUCUUAGAAAAUUAAAGCUGAAAAUCAACAUAACCAUUGGACACUUCGAAAGACAAGUGUGGGAAAUAAAUAGUAGGAUGUAAAUUUGAGUAGAGUGUUUGAUCAAAUAUUGAACAAAUAACCCACAAACUACUAAAACUCAUCUAUUAAUUCUACCAUAUAUGAACUGUCACAAUGAUAAAGCUAUGAUUUUUUUGACAAAUAUGUAUCCUAGAACUAAUACAAGUUCAAACAAAUCAGCCACAGAUCCCCGAGCCCAUCCAACCAGAUAGCUGAAACUGAAAGAAGCAUUAGCUUGAUUAGAGCACCUACAGCCUAACUUGACAAAUUUGACCCCAGAAACGCUCGCGGACGCGCCCGGUAGUAACCGGUCACGCCUAAAAUAUUUCAUUCUACAACCAGAUACCUCAAAUUAGAAACCUCAAAUCCAUAUUAUUACAUGCAACAUAAAUCGAUCUUUAAGCAGAGCACGUCCGGUGAUCGAAUGCUCUCCGGAGUGUUGGUCCAGUCACCGGCAAGUUAGAGUAGGGCAUGGGAUACGAGGCGGGUCACGGGACUCGAGGCGCCACCGUCCCCCAUUCCCAACUCUUCUCCAUCGGAACCAGGACGGUGCCGGUGGACGUCAGAUCGAUGAUGGAUCCUUCCUGGGAUGAGCCAUCAACAUCGACCACCACGUGGUUGCGGUGCCCGGACUAGUGCACAAUAUGGGGAGCCGAAAAAUACGACUUUGCCUUCGCAACGACCACCACCGCGAGGGCUGUCGCCGCCUCCCGCACCCGCUGCCUUGCAUGGCAGGAGCGCCGAACUAUGUUUUGCGUCGGGCGGUGCCCAUGGUGUGUCCAUGGCCUCAGCACGCCAAUGGAGGGGCUGUGCGUCUGCCACCCAUUUGAACGCUAGAUGGACCGCACCACCUCUGGUGAGGCAGUGAUGGUACACCUAGCGCCGGAUCCAUGCAUCAUUUGGGCGGACGCAUUGGAUUCCCCGCGGAAGGAGUUCGAGCAUUGCCGUUGCCAUCGGGCAGCCUCCUCCUGAGACCGGCGGAGCGCAAGCUCGAUUGCCAUCUCCUCCUAGGAGCCGCGUGGGAUGAGUUCGGGGUCGACGGAUCUGGAGGUAUAACACUGGGAUCCGCCGCCUGCCAUGCCGAAGAAGGCCAUAAGAUCGUCGGACGGGGGCGGCAGGGAGUGAAGUGAAGUGGCUAGGGUUUGGUCCGGCAAGCGGAUGGGGAGGAAUAUAUGUGGGGUCGGGUGGGCCAGCGUGGAUCGGGACCGACAUGGCGGACGCGCGUGGGCGCCCCAUAUUCUUCCCAGAUUUCGGCUGGAUAUGAGGGGUGUUGGUCAGCUUGGGCGUUGAGGCCCGUCUAGGUCAUUUUUCUGUGACCUGGCCGUCCGCCGGGGUGUUUGAAGUGGGUUUGGGACACCCGGGUGUAAAUGCUCUUAGACCAUGUAGUACCUUGAGGAGGAUGGUGUGGGUCCAUGAAAGAACUACAGCCUUUCCAUUAUGUUCGGGCGCAGGGCGAUAACGAAGUUAUCUUUACUCCUACAAGGGGAGUUGUUAGUCUCCGUUCCAUGGGUUUUUUUGUCUCACCUCCCAUCUUCGUUUCAUUUUUUCCGUCUCUCUUUCACACCGUCGGGUGGAGCUUAUGUGUCAUACUCCGUGACCUUUCAUUAGUUUUCUAGAGAGAAUCCUACUCUCAUAGAUUGCGACGUUUAACAAUCAGACUCAUAUAGGUGUGUUCUUCAAAAGAUGUUCUGCAGGACAACAUCUCUCCUUCAAAAAGCCACUUAGAACACAUUAAGAUAUACAUCAACCUACCAUGCAGAUUAGGAGAGUAUUGCAUCUUCAUGGAGUGGUAUUUUAACAAUAAGGAUACACUACUAGGGAAAAGGCUAGCAGCAGCGCGGGUUUUUGGUGUAUCAGUAGCGCGGGGUGGGGCGCUACUAAUAAGGCGCUACAGCUAACAUAUAGCAGUAGCGCGUGGUCACCGGCGCUACUGCUACACAAGUGUAGCAGCAGCGCGGUUACUGGGAGCACGCUACUGCUAGUAGCUCUAGCGCCCUUUGCAGCAACGCGCUACUGCUAUAGAGGCGCUGCUGCUAACUUCUAUACACUCGCUACUGCUAAUUUAACAGGUUUUUUGUUUUUUUGGGCAUAUUUGUUUUGUAUUUGAACAGGCUUUAUAGAAGAAUCUUUAGCACAUAGAAAUGUCAUCAUGAUACACAUACAAAUGCCUGCGAGACCACGAAUAUAAUCAUAGCAUAUACAUACAAAUAGUCUCAUCAUAAUCAUCAUCCAACACAAAGUGGUCUCUCGUCAUCAUCUCGAAAAUAGCGAUACAAGUCCUUGAUUACUUGCAAAUACAUUGUCAUCCAUCUAAACAAUGGUAUACGCGAGAAGAGCUAUCACUUUGAGAACAUGAGUUCGUAUCCCUCUCUCGCAUUAGCGUGAACCUAAACUAACUACUGCCUGUCGCUCGGAAACCGGAAACCGGCAACACCUGGGUCUGACACUCCGGUCACUCAUCGUAUAUAUACUCCUGGCGUAGCACUUCUUCGCCAUCGAUGAUCUAUGCACCUGCAUCAUCACAUGAGUAGAUGAUAUGCAACAUAUAUAGUUGAGCAACAGAAAGAGACAGACUUGACAAAAAUAGAAACAACGUAUCAUAAGCAUAAAUAACAAAGUUCAUCAUAACCAAAAUGCCCUAACUAGAGUGAUCUUCGCUAGUCGAGGAGGAGGACGGUUUAAUUACAUCACAAAUAAAGUUUUACUGCGCAUAACUCAAAGUUUUGUCAUACAGAAAGUAUGGAGUAAACAGACACAUUGUCAUAUAUUGACAAUCACUCCAACAUGCCGUGCCAUCCAUCGAGGUCAGGGAGAUAGUCCCCGAGCUUAGUGAAAGGCUUCAUGUCGAGACGCUGAGAGGCUAUCCAUGUUCGGACGUCUUCCCACAACAUUUUUCCUCCGUAGAACAUCCCUGUUUUUCCGACGACCUCUUUCAUGAUGAUUUGGGCAAGUUCGCGUUGGAUGUUAUAGAACUCAGCUCGAAGUCGAUGAUCCUCGAUAUCUCCUAUGUCCUUUGCCCAUUGCAGAAUAUGGGCAUCGCCAGAUCUAGGUGACAUGUGAAGGUUCUGGUGAUCCCGUUUGUACUCCCGCAUGUGGUGUAGGACAUAGAAUCCACCAUUAAGAGAAUCGUUCGGUUGUUGGAUGCAGCAGAAGUCGGUCUUAUGGCUGAAGGCGGCCCUGCCGCCCCUUCUCUUCUUGUCCCUAACCUCUCCACCCCUUGCUUGGUAGUAAAACAUAGCACUGUCGAGAACAUCUUUGAUGUGGGUGUAAUCCUUUUUGUGAAUGUUAUUCGAUGAGUCCAAGUAAAGAGCAUGGGAGAAUCGGGGGUAGAGGAUGAUGAGGACGGCGCGCCCGCCGCUGCGCAAAAUAAGUACACCUCAAAUUAAUUAGCCUUCACCGUGCAAAUGAAUUAUUGAAAUCGAAGGAAGGAUAGCAGCGCGGAUGACUUACACGGGAUGAUAAGGCACGAGAAUCGCCUCCUUGUCCUUAUUGGCGAGCAUGAAACUAACGAUGUAAUUCCUCGCGUAUUCACGCUGCUCUGCACAGACUCCCAAGAAGCUCUCGUGCAUGUAGUACGGGUCAGUGACACAGAUAUGACGUAUCUGCUCAACCCCAAUGAUGUAGUUCAUGUGCAAGGCAUAAAGGCGGACAAAUGUAAAAUCCAGCUUCUUCACGUGAAACAUGUCGAAUAUGUAAUCGAAUCGGAGGAAGAACUUAUCCGCAGCGAAGCUGUCGACGUAUGACAUUUUCCGCGGAACGUUAUCCACGUAGAGUGGGUAUCCUGGAUCUUUCGAGGCAAUGAGGCAUUUCUCUACCCGUAGCACAUCAUCAUGAAGUCUCCUUAGAUCGCCGAAUCUGGCCCGUAGCGCUGUUGCAGGUAGGAUUGGUUGACCGGGGAUAUGCCAUUUAUCCGCAUCGGGGAUAUCUAGACGGUCCUGAAGCUGAGGCUGCUGAGGCGGCUGGAUCAUAGAAUCAACUUUUUUUCCUUUCCUCGCUCUCUUCCUAGACUUCUUUACUACCGGAAAGUCGUCAAUAACACAUUGAGACGGUAAUUCAGGCACCGACUCAUGAUGCUCAAACCCUGAGGAGGCGCCAGUAUAGACAUACUGUUCAGCGCCAUCGUCAUCCUCAUCCUCAUCCAUGGCGACGUCAUCAGCGACUAAUGGAGCCUCCUCCUUACCCCGUCCGCUAUCACCCAACCCGACACCCAACGCUAAUUGGGUAGGUGGGGUGUUGAUGUUCAUACCUUGCUGAGACUGCGUGCUCGUGGGUGUGCUCCCGGCCGCCUCCAGACGAAGCAGACUCUUUGGCCACAACAGGACCUACCCAUUGCAACAAUCACCAAGCCGCUGCGGUGUCUCCUCGUCAUCCACCAAUAGUGUUGGAGGAGGCAAAUUCUCGUGGCCCGGUUCGACACUGGCCAUGGAAACCUUGAAGACGUUUGGGGGAAUCGGCCGGCUGUGGAACAAUGGUUCCUUCGGCUUCAUUAUCGUCGCCUUCCCCAUGGCCACCUUCUGGUCCCCGAUGGUGUACAAUAUGGUGCGCGGGGUUUCGUCGGCCUGCAAAGAGAAGUCUGCGACGUGAGACAUUCGAAAGGCAACGAAAACGGGAGAUUAUACAUUUAUAUUGAAGGGGGCCGGUGUGACAGAUACCGUGAGGGCGUCGAGCUCAGCCAAAGACAAAGCACCGCCGAGCACGUCCGGUGCGGGAGCCGGUGCGGGAGCAGGUGCUCCCAAGAAGUCAGCAAGGGGAAAGUCCUCUGCAUUUUUUUCUGGAUUUUUCCUUGUCCAAGUGAUAACGCCCGUCACCAAGGAAGUAGACAAAUCUGCAACCGCCUGUUUUGCGGCAGCUACCGCUGUUGCGACUGUCUGAGAUGAUUUCUUCUCAACCGCAAUCUCAACCUUCUUGUCGAUGUUUUUUUCAGUUAACCUCCGUCUUUCCUUUCUCUCCUCUGUGGUCUCCCGGUAGUACUUCUUCCACGUGGCGCCGUCUCCGACACCGUGCACGCGUCCAUACGAUGGUCGAGUAUCCAUCGGUUGUCGUUUCAAUAUGUUCAACGUCCGGUUGAAUGGAGUGUCCCACUUGGGCCUCGCCAAUGCCUCAGACGGCGAGUCGUUUUCGACCGCAAUCCGGUGCUGCUCUCUCUGCAAAAGGCACAAGGAUCGUUUACAAAUAUGACUAACGUGUGCAGUCGAAUUGAUCAGAAACUAAAAUUACCAGCAGUCUCAUGAACUCCGUAAUGACCGGUGUUGUCUCAUAAACCUUCUUCACUGGGUCCCAACGGUGCCGAGCCCUCAGGACGUCACGCUCCUGCGGGACAGUGAAAUCCGCCAAGGGGUCUGGGAUGCCCAGACUCGCGGCUUCCGCGUCCUCCUUGGCCCAUUUGGACCUCUUUCCGCCGUAACCACGCUUCCGAGGUGGUGGCUCCCAAUGUUCCUCUUUUGAAGCCCCUUCAUGUACUUAGACUUUUUUUGGCAGCUUCGGCCUCGCAAGCCUCCUUGAAUAUUUGAAACUGCUCUUCCGUGAUUGUCAGAUUAUCCUUUACAAUCUCGGAGUAGGGUUCCCCGUCGUUGAUCUUUGCUUUCACUCAAUUUUUCCAGGCGGCCAACGCGUCGCUAAACUUGGUCAUGGCGUGUUUGUUUAUCUUCUUCAUUGCGGGGUCCUCGUCUGGAUCUUCAUAAUCCUUCUCAUUCCGGCCCGGGAACAAGAAUAUCUGGUGAAACUUCUUUAGAAGGGAGCUCCUCAUAUUUUCUAUCUUCUAUAGUUUCUCAUCAUUGAUGGUGGCGGUUGUCCGUAUGAUGCAGCCUAUUUGAUUGCCGUAGCACGCGCGCGCUUCCUCGGGCGCCUUUGGCUCAAAAUUGCCGUCGUCCACCUCUGUGACCACCAGUCUAGUAGUCCUGAGUUUGUUAGGAACCCGUUGCUUCUUUGCGUUCGGUUCUACACCAGCUCCGCUCCCCGAGACAGCACCGGUCUCAGCGCCGCUCUCGAUGCCGGUCUGAAUCUCAGCGCCGGUCUCAGUCUCAGCACCGGUCUGCGUGUCGGUCUCAGUCCCCGAUGCCACUGGUGGGCCCAGCAACAACAUCGGUUGAUCGUCGGUAAGGCUAAAAUAUUCAUCUGCCACCAGGUAGACGUCGUCGCAAUCACCAGAACCCUGUCCUUCAUCGUUGCUAGCCAUGUUUCCUAUCAUUAAAUCUAGUCAAUUAAUUCUAGACCUAAUAAAAUGAAUAAUGACAUAAAAAAGGACUAUUGUUUUGCAGGAAUGUUGACUCCUUCCUGGUGCGGAAAAUCCCGGCACUCGAUAUGUCCUAGUUUGUAGCACAAGUCAUGCCGAAAUUCACGGAAAAUUUUGGCAUGGCCUUUGCUAAAAAGUGGACAAAUCGAGAACCUGAAAUUUGUCGGAACAGAAAUGAAUCAACAUUCCGGCAAAACAUAGGCCACUCAGCAUCAUUCCCUGGAAACAACAAAGCCACUUGGGCACAAUCGAACAACUUCAAUGAAAAGAUAUAACAUGAGCAAACACUAUUGAGGAAUUUGCAUAUAACAUGGCCACUUCAAUGAAAAGAUAUAAUCAACAAUAACGGAAUAUGCAAAUGAACAUCAAUGACAUAUAGCUACUGUUCUGUUUGACCAAGUUUUUGAAAAGAAAAACAAUUCUGUUUUUUGUUUAUAGCUAAAUGCCAUAGCUACUAUUUUUUAUUUAUAGCUAAAUACUUUUGUUUUUUGUCUAAAGCUAAAAGUCUAGGAACUACAUUUUCUCUAACCCUUUUGACCUCACCAGAAUUUUCACAGCAAGACCUUAGUACCUACACCCAAUUUCUUCAAAAAUAUUCAGGUCCAUAGUCCAAAUAAUUCAAAUUUCAUUUGAAUGAAAUUUGGAACAAAUUCAGGUCCGUAGUCAAAAUAUUUUUUUAUAGCUAAGUGUUUUUUGUUUAUACCCUCUGUUAAUUUAAAUCUAAAUGCUACUAUUAUUUAUAUACCCUCUAUUAGUUUAAAGCUAAAUGGAAUUACUGUUUAGGAAUUUUCAUAAAAAUUGCCCUAGCUAAUUUCCUAAAAAAAUUGCAAAUCAUUUUUCCUAAAUGCUAUAAAAUGCCUACUGCCCUAAAAAAAUCUAGGGUUCAUAUGAACACCUAGGGUUCAUAUGAACAUCAACACAGUAUCAACAUAUAUAUAUAUAAUUGCCCUAGCAGAGAGAAAUAGGAGGGUAGGGACAGGAGAGGCAUAGCCUUACGGUCGGCGUUGAGGGCAGGCUCUGGCUCGGGCAGCGGCGGUGAGGUCAAGGGCGGCGGCGGCGAGCUCGAGGGAGGCGACAGUGAGGUCGACGGUGACAGCCUCGGGUGGCGGCUGUGAGGUCGAGGGGGCGGCCUCGGGCGGCGGCCUCGGGCGGCGGCAGUGUGGUCAAAGGCGGCGGGCGGCGGCGGUGUGGUCGAAGGCGGCCUCCGGCGGUGGCGGUGUGGUCGAAGGCGCGCGGCAGGGCAACGGCGGCGAUGAAGCAGUUGGGGGACAGGGGGGAGUAGAGAGGGGGGAAAGGACUUAGCAAAAUUUUGAGCCAGGGCCGCCGGGAUUUGAGUCAAACUAGCAGCAGCGCGUUUUGACGAAACGCGCUAUAGCUAAGAUAGCUAUAGCGUGUUCCAGAGAAAUGCGCUACAGCUAACCCUUUCUGUUUUCUUUCUCUUUUUAUUUUGUUUUCUUUACAUUUUCUUUUUUUCAUUUCUCCUUUUUCUAUUUCUUUCAUUUUCAUUUACUUUUCUACUUAAUUUUCUAUUUAUUUUCCUUUACAUAGCAGUAGCGCUGUAAAGAAGAAACGCGCUGCUACAAUGUUUUUAACAGUAGCGUGCUUCUGGGAGAAGCGCUGCUACUAUUCCUAGCCUACCGGCACCAGUGAGAGAAUUUUAGUAGUAGCGCUUUUUUGUGGAGAAGCGCUACUACUAAAAUAAUGAUUGUAGCGUGGUUUUGCAACAAGCGCUACUACUAAGUAGCGCUAGCGCCGAGUUUUGACCAACGCUACUGCUAUACCUCUGUGUAUAGCAUUUUCCCUAGUAGUGAUACUCUCCUCUCAGUUGACCAACAGCUUGUCUUCCACAUCUAAUUCACGGGAUCUCCGAUCACAAAGAAUGGGUUACCACUGUGGACACCUCAUAUUGUGGGUCUCAUUCCCAUCUCCAUCGAUGCAUUAUCUAUCACAUUACGUGAUAGACCCUUAGUAAAAGGAUCUGCCAGAUUUUUAGACGUUUGGAUAUAAUCCAAUGCAAUAACUCUCGAGUUUUUCAUUUUUCUGACAGACUUUAACCUUCUCUGAACGUGUCUUGAUGACUUCAUGUUAUCCUUUGAGCUGCUCACUUUAGUGAUCACAGUUUGAUUGUCACAGUUCAUCCGGAUACCCGGUACAGGUUUCUCAACUACCGGUAAGUCAUUCAAGAGCCGACGAAGCCAAUCUGCUUCGACCGUAGUUGUAUCUAGUGCUGUGAGUUCUGCUUCCAUUGUUGACCUCGUUAAAAUGGUCUGCUUGCAAGACUUCCAAGAAACAGCGCCACCUCCAUGAGUGAAUACAUAACCGCUCGUGGCCUUUAUCUCAUCAACAUCUGAGAUCCAGUCUGAGUCAAUAUACCCUUCAAGCACCUUUGGAUGCCUAGUGUAGUGAAUUCCAUAAUUUGCAGUGCUUUCAAAUAACGCAAAACUCUCUCUAGAGCUUUCCAAUGCACAUCUCCUGGUUUUGAGACAAACCGGCUCAGUUAGCUAACAGCAAAAGAGAUGUCAGGUCUCGUAGCACUGGCUAAGUACAUAAGCGAGCCAAUAAUGUGUGAAUAUUCCAAUUGGUCUCUAGCAAUUCUUCGAUUCUUUCGAAGCAACACACUAGCAUCAUAUGGUCUUGGAGAGGGCUUGCAGUCACUGUAGCCAAAGCGACUCAAGAUCUUUUCCCCAUAGUGAGACGGAAGCAAUGUAAUCCCACCAUCAUCAUCUCUCAACAACUUGAUGUUCAGAAUGACGUCAGCCACUCCUAAAUCCUUCUUCUCAAAACAGCGAGAUAGGAAAUCCUUGACCUCCUUAAGAACAUUUAGAUUUGUUCCGAAAAUCAGUAUGUCAUCAACAUACAAGCAAAGCAUAACUCCCUCGCCCCCACCAUGGCGAUAGUACACACAUUUGUUAGCUUCGUUCACAACAAAGCCUGCAGCUGUUAAAGUUCUUUCGAACUUCUCAUGCCACUGUUUGGGUGCUUGCUUGAGUCCAUACAAAGACUUCAGCAACUUGCACACUUUCCCUUCCUAACCAUCUAUUACAAACCCAUCUGGUUGUUCCAUAUAAAUUUCCUCAUCCAACUCUCCAUUUAGGAAAGCAGUCUUAACAUCCAUUUGAUGAACGAGAAGACCAUGUGAGGCAGCUAGUGAAAGUUUAACUCGAAUAGUGGUCAGUCGAGCCACAGGUGAGUAAGUAUCAAAGAAGUCUUCACCUUCCUUUUAGGUAUAACCCUUUGCCACGAGCUGAGCCUUGUACUUUUCAAUAGUACCAUCAGGCCUAAGUUUCUUCUUGAAUACCCAUUUGCAUCCUAUAGGUUUGCACCAUAAGGACGAUCAGUUAUCUCCCAAGUUUCAUCCGCCAAGAUGGAAUCCAUCUCGCUACGAACCGCUUCCUUCCAGUAGUCAGCAUCUUCCGAUGCAUAGGCCUCCAAAAUAGAACUGGGAGUGUCAUCUAUGAGAUACACAAGAAAAUCAUCACCCAAGGACUUUGCUGUCCUCUGUCUCUUACUCCUAGUAGGAACUUCAUUGUUCUCCUCCACAGGCCUUUCAAAGUGUUCCAUCGAAAUGGCAGGUUCAGUAAUUGUAACUGGUUCCUGAUUCGAUGAACUAGGCAUCUCCUGAUUAGAUGAGGUAGCCAUAUCCUUCAUGGGAAAGAUAUCUUCAAAGAAAGUCGCAUCAUUCGACUCCAUGAUCGUACUGACAUGCAUGUCAGAUACCUCAGAUUUUACAACCAAGAAUAUAUAGCCAAUGCUAUGAAAAGCAUAUCCCAGGAAAACACAAUCCACAGUCUUUGGUCCAAGCUUCCGCUUCUUUGGAAUUGGAACAUUGACUUUCGCCAAGCAACCCCAUGUUCGCAGAUAAGAGAGUCUUAACCUUUUCUUCUCCCAUUCCUCGAAUGGAGUUAUCUCUUUGUUCUUUGUGGGAACUCGAUUUAGGACAUGACAUGCUGUCAAUAUCGUCUCCCCCCACCAUGCCUUGGAGAGACCCGAUGUGCAUAACAUGGCGUUAACGAAAUCAGUUAGAGUACGGUUCUUUCUUUCGGCCACCCCAUUUGACUGAGGUGAGUAGGGAGGCGUCCUCUCAUGGAUUAUACCAUGUUCCGCACAAAAAGCAUCAAAUUCAUUGGAAAAAUACUCUCCACCACGGUCAGACCUAAGCCUCUUGAUUUUUCGAUCAAGUUGGUUUUCCACUUCAGCUUUAUAGAUCUUGAAAAAGUUCAAAGCCUCAUCCUUAGAUUUCAGAAGAUACACAUGGCAGUAUCUAGUGGAGUCGUCAAUUAACGUCAUGAAAUAUUUCUUUCCACCUUUUGUCAAAACACCAUUCAUUUCACAUAGAUCUGAAUGUAUAAGUUCUAGUGGUGCAAGAUUUCUCGUCUCCGCAGUCACGUGAGACUUACGAGGUUGCUUAGCUUGCACACACACUUGACACUUAGAUCCUUGACAGUGGUGAAACUAGGGAUUAAGUUCAACUUCGCUAGUCGCGACAUGCAACCAAAGUUAACAUGACAAAGACGUGAAUGCCACACAUUUGAUUCACUAUUGUUGCAAAUAUGAUUAACAACUUUAUUGCAAAUGUCUGAUAAGGAUAAACGAAACAGGCCUCCUGACUCAUAGCCUUUACCAACAAAGGUCCCAUACUUGGAUAUUACAAAUUUAUUCGACUCAAAGACAAGCUUAUAGCCAUCUCUACACAGAAGAGAUCCGCUAACAAGAUUUUUAUUGACGGAGGGGACAUAAUGCACGUUCUUCAGCCGCACGAUCUUCCCUGAAGUAAACUUCAGAUCAACCAUGCCAACACCACGAACAGAAGCACUUGAACUGUUGCCCAUCAGCACGGUUGAAGUCCCUGCGGUCUGAUAAGAUGAAAACAUGGAAAUAUCACCGUAUACAUGCACAUUAGCACCCAUGUCAAUCAACCAACCAGGAGAAUGACAUACUGAAAGAAUAGUGGGAAAUAUACCAUACCCAACAUCUUUCAUGUCAAUGUCUCCGAUGACAACAUUAGCGGUCUUGCCGCCUUUCCCAGGAUGACGCUUGUCAUAGCGAUUAGGACAACUAGGAGCCCAAUGAUCAGGAUCUCCAAACACAUGACAAGCACCUUUCUUAUUGUCAUUCUUCUUCUUGAAGUUCAUGUGCUGCACAGCCUUGUUCUUCCCAUCGAACUUUGCUUUACCAUCAAACUUGCCCUUGUUCUUGAACUUGUGGGACUGGAAGUUCUUCUUCUGUACCAGAUUGGCACUAGAUCCUCCCUCAAUACCUCGAGCACAUGUGUCCUUUGCUCUCGCCUUUUCUUCCACAUAAGAGUACCAAUGAGAUCCGGGAUGGAAAACUCCUGUCUCUUAUGCUUCAGUGAGGUAGCAAAGUUCCUCCAUGAAGGAGGAAGCUUAGUGAUGAUACCCCCGGCAACAAACUUGUCCGGUAAGAUACAAUUGAAGUGCUCAAGUUCUCUAGCAAAAGACUGUAUCUCAUGAGCCUGCUCAACCACGGAGCGCUCUUCAGUCAUCCUGUAAUCAUAGAAUUAUUCCAUGAUGUACAGCUCAGUGCCGGCAUCCGAGACCCCAAACUUGGCCUCGAGUGUGUCCCACAUAUCUUUUCAUUGUCAAUUGACGCAUAAGCAUCAACUAUGUUCUCACCAAGAACACUCAAAAGAGCAGCCUUAAACAAGGUAUCCAUUUUCUGGAAAGCUUGUGCCUGUUGGGCAUCUUGCUCUCCUUCGGGUUUGCCAAGAGUGGCAUCAUAGAAACUCAUGGUUUGAAACCAUAAGACUGCUCUCACACGCCACUUCUUAUAGUGGAUACCCUCAAACAUAGGAGGUCUCAUGGAAGCAGCAAAAUCACUCGGGGUAAAUUGCCUAUAAUAAGGUUUUUGGAUUGUUGGAAAUAUGAGCAAUUUACCGAAUGAUUUUAUUAACAAAAAUACUAGAUAAAGCAUGACUAAAAUAGCAAAUAUAAAGCAAGUCAUGCAGUCUGACAGAGAGAAGGUAAACAUCGUCUGCAUAUAUGAACUUGAGCUAAACACAGCUAGAACAGACACUAGAUGAAGUUGCUUAUACGAAACAGAACCUAACAUACGUAGGGCAGAAACUAGAGCCAAGAACUAUAGCAGGACUUCUAACAGAAAGGAGAAGAACACGUACGGCACAGCAGCAGCAGAAGCGCUGGACUUGGGGUUGGUGUCCUUGCCUGCCAUGUCAUCGAGGAGGUCAUGGACGUCAGGGAAGAAGUCGUCGUCGGGGAAGUAGUCGUUGGCGACCGGAUCGUCUGUGAUGAAGCAGCCAGUAGUCGCACUAAGUGCUCCCCAAAAACCUUAUCACCCUUCUCCCGUACAGGACUCAAAAGGUGCGGUCGCGAAAGCCUACUGUCCCGACGUGCGGUGCACGCCACAAGUCGGGAUGAGGAAGACAGCAGCAGCUCAGAGAUGGAACCGAUGGCGAGGGAAGGAGCAGUUCUGGUGCGUCUCUCUGAGAGGAGCGACCUCCCUUUUAUAGGCGCAAGAGAAGGAGGCGAGAGGCUGCGCCGGGAGCUGAAGGGAAUGCGGGAGACGAAACAAACAGGCAGCAGCCGAAGGGGCGCGCCGUUCGGAUUCAGUGUCCAGGCACAGAAAAAAAAUGUUUCAGCUUCCGAGUGACCUUUCGUAUACCCGUAGUGCGUGGCAAAAAUUUAGACAUCGGCUCGGCUCAUUCCCGCAACCCGCGGCGCGGCGCAUCGUGAUGAGGCGUGGUGAGGCGGGCGGCGGAGGAGGAGCACGCGUGGAUGUCCCUCUUGUUCUCAUGCUCAUACAAGUGGGGAAGGAGCCUCCCUUAUAAAGAGGUCCAACUCCCUCUAAACUAGCAAGGUGGGACUAAACUUUAGUUCCACCUCUUGCCUUGCACGAAUGGGCUGCGUGGGCCUCUAGGAUUUAUUAGGAAUUUCUAAAAUUGCUAUUGGGCUAGGCCCAAAUAGACAAAAAUUCCAGCAAUCCCCCACCAGAUCCCAGAGGCACACAAAAUUUGCCUUUGGUUCCAAAACACUGUUUUAUAUACUGGUACAGCAGUGGAGACUGUUAAGUUGAACUUCCACCUAGAACCCUAUGCUACACUAGUAAGCAACUUGAACAGUGGACUGGGCCUUGAACUGCAAGUUUUCUGCAAAUCUAGCUUCACAUAAGGCCUUGACCGAUACGUGGCUACCGUGGGUCUUCCCCGUGGGUGGAGCUUAUGCGUCAUACUCCGUGACCUUUCAUUAGUUUACUAGAGAGAACCCUACUCUCAUAGAUUGCGACGUUUAACAAUCAGACUCAUAUAGGUGCGUUCUUCAAAAGAUGUUCUGCAGGACAACAUCUCUGCUUCAAAAAGCCACUUAGAACACAUUAAGAUAUAAAUCAACCUGCCAUGCAGAUUAGGAGAGUAUUGCAUCUUCAUGGAGUGGUAUUUUAACAGUAUGGAUACUCUCCUCUCAGUUGACCAACAACUUGUCUUCCACAUCUAAUUCACGGGAUCUCCGAUCAUAAAGAAUAGGUUACCACUAUGAACAACUCAUAUUGUGGGUCUCAUUCCCAUCUCCCUCGAUGCAUUAUCUAUCACAUUACGUGAUAGACCGUUAGUAAAAGGAUCUGCCAGAUUUUUAGACGUUUGGAUAGAAUCCAAUGCAAUAACUCUGGAGUUUUUCAUUUUUCUGACAGACUUUAACCUUCUCUGAACGUGUCUUGAUGACUUCAUGUUAUCCUUUGAGUUGCUCACUUUAGUGAUCACAGUUUGAUUGUCACAGUUCAUCCGGAUACCCGGUAUAGGUUUCUCAACUACCGGUAAGUCAUUCAAGAGCCGACGAAGCCAAUCUGCUUCGACCGUACCUGUAUCUAGUGUUGUGAGUUCUGCUUCCAUUGUUGACCUCGUUAAGAUGGUCUGCUUGCAAGACUUCCAAGAAACAGCGCCACCUCCAUGAGUGAAUACAUAACCGCUCGUGGCCUUUAUCUCAUCAGCAUCUGAGAUCCAGUUUGAGUCACUAUACCCUUCAAGCACCUUUGGAUGCCAAGUGUAGUGAAUUCCAUAAUUUGCAGUGCCUUUUAAAUAACGCAAAACUCUCUCUAGAGCUUUCCAAUGCACAUCUCCUGGUUUUGAGACAAACCGGCUUAGUUAGCUAACAGCAAAAGAGAUGUCAGGUCUCGUAGCACUGGCUAAGUACAUAAGCGAGCCAAUAAUCUGUGAAUAUUUCAAUUGGUCUCUAGUGAUUCUUCGAUUCUUUCGAAGCAACACACUAGCAUCAUAUGGUGUUGGAGAGGGCUUGCAGUCACUGUAGCCAAAGCGGCUCAAGAUCUUUUCCACAUAGUGAGAUUGAAGCAAUGUAAUCCCACAAUCAUCAUCUCUCAAAAACUUGAUGUUCAGAAUGACAUCAGCCACUCCUAAAUCCUUCAUCUCAAAACAGCAAGAUAGGAAAUCCUUGACCUCCUUAAGAACAUUCAGAUCUGUUCCGAAAAUCAGUAUGUCAUCAACAUACAAGCAAAGCAUAACUCCCUUGCCCCCACCAUGGCGAUAGUACACACAUUUGUCAGCUUCGUUCACAACAAAGCCUGCAGCUAUUAAAGUUCUUUCGAACUUCUCAUGCCACUGUUUGGGUGCUUGCUUGAGUCCAUACAAAGACUUCAGCAACUUGCACACUUUCCCUUCCUGGCCAUCUAUUACAAACCCCUCUGGUUGUUCCAUAUAAAUUUCCUCAUCCAAAUCUCCAUUUAGGAAAGCAGUCUUAACAUCCAUUUGAUGAACGAGAAGACCAUGUGAGGCAGCUAGUGAAAGUAGACCUCGAAUAGUGGUCAGUCGAGCCACAGGUGAGUAAGUAUCAAAGAAGUCUUCACCUUCCUUUUGGUUAUAACCCUUUGCCACGAGCCGAGCCUUGUACUUUUCAUUAGUACCAUCAGGCCUAAGUUUCUUCUUGAAUACCCAUUUGCAUCCUAUAGGUUUGCACCCAUAAGGACGAUCAGUUAUCUCCCAAGUUUCAUUCGCCAAGAUGGAAUCCAUCUCGCUACGAAUCGCUUCCUUCCAGUAGUCAGCAUCUUCCGAUGCAUAGGCAUCCGAAAUAGAACUGGGAGUGUCAUCUAUGAGAUACACAAGAAAAUCAUCACCAAAGGACUUUGCUGUCCUCUGUCUCUUGCUCCUAGUAGGAACUUCAUUGUUCUCCUCCGCAGGACUUUCAAAGUGUUCCAUCGAAAUGGCAGGUUCAGUAAUUGUAACUGGUUCCUGAUUCGAUGAACUAGGCAUCUCCUAAUUAGAUGAGGUAGCCAUAUCCUUCAUGGGAAUGAUAUCUUCAAAGAAAGUCGCAUCAUUCGACUCCAUGAUCGUACCGACAUGCAUGUCAGAUACCUCAGAUUUUACAACCAAGAAUCUAUAGCCAAUGCUGUGAAAAGCAUAUCCCAGGAAAACACAAUCCACAGUCUUUGGUCCAAGCUUCCGCUUCUUUGGAAUUGGAACAUUGACUUUCGCCAAGCAACCGCAUGUUCGCAGAUAAGAGAGUUUUAACCUUUUCUUCUCCCAUUCCUCGAAUGGAGUUAUCUCUUUGUUCUUUGUGGGGACUCGAUUUAGGACAUGACAUGCUGUCAAUAUCGCCUCCCCCCACCAUGCCUUGGAGAGACCCGAUGUGGCGUUAACCAAAUCAGUUAGAGUACGGUUCUUUCUUUCGGCCACCCCAUUUGACUGAGGUGAGUAGGGAGGCGUCCCCUCAUGGAUUAUACCAUGUUCUGCACAAAAAGCAUCAAAUUCAUUGGAAAAAUACUCUCCACCACGGUCAGACCUAAGCCUCUUGAUUUUUCGAUCAAGUUGGUUUUCCACUUCAGCUUUAUAGAUCUUGAAAAAGUUCAAAGCCUCAUCCUUACAUUUCAGAAGAUACACAUGGCAGUAUCUAGUGGAGUCAUUAAUUAACGUCAUGCAAUAUUUCUUUCCACCUUUUGUCAAAACACCAUUCAUUUCACAUAGAUCUGAAUGUAUAAGUUCUAGUGGUGCAAGAUUUCUCGUCUCCGUAGUCACGUGAGACUUACGAGGUUGCUUAGCUUGCACACACACUUGACACUUAGAUCCUUGACAGUGGUGAAACUAGGGAUUAAGUUCAACUUCGCUAGUCGCGACAUGCAACCAAAGUUAACAUGACAAAGACGUGAAUGCCACACAUUUGAUUCACUAUUGUUGCAAAUAUGAUUAACAACUUUAUUGCAAACGUCUGAUAAGGAUAAACGAAACAGGCCUCCUGACUCAUAGCCUUUACCAACAAAGGUCCCAUACUUGGAUAUUACAAAUUUAUUCGACUCAAAGACAAGCUUAUAGCCAUCUCUACACAGAAGAGAUCCGCUAACAAGAUUUUUAUUGACGGAGGGGACAUAAUGCACGUUCUUCAGCCGCACGAUCUUCCCUGAAGUAAACUUCAGAUCAACCAUGCCAACACCACGAACAGAAGCACUUGAACUGUUGCCCAUCAGCACGGUUGAAGUCCCUGCGGUCUGAUAAGAUGAAAACAUGGAAAUAUCACCGCAUACAUGCACAUUAGCACCCAUGUCAAUCAACCAACCAGGAGAAUGACAUACUGAAAGAAUAGUGGGAAAUAUACCAUACCCAGCAUCUUUCAUGUCAAUGUCUCCGAUGACAACAUUAGCGGUCUUGCCGCCUUUCCCAGGAUGACGCUUGUCAUAGCGAUUAGGACAACUAGGAGCCCAAUGAUCAGGAUCUCCAAACACAUGACAAGCACCUUUCUUAUUGUCAUUCUUCUUCUUGAAGUUCAUGUGCUGCACAGCCUUGUUCUUCCCAUCGAACUUUGCUUUACCAUCAAACUUGCCCUUGUUCUUGAACUUGUGGGACUGGAAGUUCUUCUUCUGUACCAGAUUGGCACUAGAUCCUCCCUCAAUACCUCGAGCACGUGUGUCCUUUGCUCUCGCCUUUUCUUCCACAUAAGAGUACCAAUGAGAUCCGGGAUGGAAAACUCCUGUCUCUUAUGCUUCAGUAAGGUAGCAAAGUUCCUCCAUGAAGGAGGAAGCUUAGUGAUGAUACCCCCGGCAACAAACUUGUCCGGUAAGAUACAAUUGAAGUGCUCAAGUUCUCUAGCAAAAGACUGUAUCUCAUGAGCCUGCUCAACCACGGAGCGCUCUUCAGUCAUCCUGUAAUCAUAGAAUUAUUCCAUGAUGUACAGCUCAGUGCCGGCAUCCGAGACCCCAAACUUGGCCUCGAGUGUGUCCCACAUAUCUUUUCAUUGUCAAUUGAAGCAUAAGCAUCAACUAUGUUCUCACCAAGAACACUCAAAAGAGCAGCCUUAAACAAGGUAUCCAUUUUCUGGAAAGCUUGUGCCUGUUGGGCAUCUUGCUCUCCUUCAGGUUUGCCAAGAGUGGCAUCAUAGAAACUCAUGGUUUGAAACCAUAAGACUGCUCUCACACGCCACUUCUUAUAGUGGAUACCCUCAAACAUAGGAGGUCUCAUGGAAGCAGCAAAAUCACUCGGGGUAAAUUGCCUAUAAUAAGGUUUUUGGAUUGUUGGAAAUAUGAGCAAUUUACCGAAUGAUUUUAUUAACAAAAAUACUAGAUAAAGCAUGACUAAAAUAGCAAAUAUAAAGCAAGUCAUGUAGUCUGACAGAGAGAAGGUAAACAUCGUCUGCAUAUAUGAACUUGAGCUAAACACAGCUAGAACAGACACUAGAUGAAGUUGCUUAUACGAAACAGAACCUAACAUACGUAGGGCAGAAACUAGAGCCAAGAACUAUAGCAGGACUUCUAACAGAAAGGAGAAGAACACGUACGGCACAGCAGCAGCAGAAGCGCUGGACUUGGGGUUGGUGUCCUCGCCUGCCAUGUCAUCGAGGAGGUCAUGGACGUCAGGGAAGAAGUCGUCGUCGGGGAAGUAGUCGUCGGCGACCGGAUCGUCUGUGAUGAAGCAGCCAGUAGUCGCACUAAGCGCUCCCCAAAAACCUUAUCACCCUUCUCCCGUACAGGACUCAAAAGGGGCGGUCGCGAAAGCCUACUGUCCCGACGUGCGGUGCACGCCACAAGUCGGGAUGAGGAAGACAGCAGCAGCUCAGAGAUGGAACCGAUGGCGAGGGAAGGAGCAGUUCUGGUGCGUCUCUCUGAGAGGAGCGACCUCCCUUUUAUAGGCGCAAGAGAAGGAGGCGAGAGGCUGCGCCGGGAGCUGAAGGGAAUGCGGGAGACGAAACGAACAGGCAGCAGCCGAAGGGGCGCGCCGUUCGGAUUCAGUGUCCAGGCACAGAAAAAAAAUGUUUCAGCUUCCGAGUGACCUUUCGUAUACCCGUAGUGCGUGGCAAAAAUUUAGACAUCGGCUCGGCUCAUUCCCGCAACCCGCGGCGCGGCGCAUCGUGAUGAGGCGUGGUGAGGCGGGCGGCGGAGGAGGAGCACGCGUGGAUGUCCCUCUUGUUCUCAUGCUCAUACAAGUGGGGAAGGAGCCUCCCUUAUAAAGAGGUCCAACUCCCUCUAAACUAGCAAGGUGGGACUAAACUUUAGUUCCACCUCUUGCCUUGCACGAAUGGGCUGCGUGGGCCUCUAGGAUUUAUUAGGAAUUUCUAAAAUUGCUAUUGGGCUAGGCCCAAAUAGACAAAAAUUCCAGCAAUCCCCCACCAGAUCCCAGAGGCACACAAAAUUUGCCUUUGGUUCCAAAACACUGUUUUAUAUACUGGUACAGCAGUGGAGACUGUUAAGUUGAACUUCCACCUAGAACCCUAUGCUACACUAGUAAGCAACUUGAACAGUGGACUGGGCCUUGAACUGCAAGUUUUCUGCAAAUCUAGCUUCACAUAAGGCCUUGACCGAUACGUGGCUACCGUGGGUCUUCCCCGUGGGUGGAGCUUAUGCGUCAUACUCCGUGACCUUUCAUUAGUUUACUAGAGAGAACCCUACUCUCAUAGAUUGCGACGUUUAACAAUCAGACUCAUAUAGGUGCGUUCUUCAAAAGAUGUUCUGCAGGACAACAUCUCUGCUUCAAAAAGCCACUUAGAACACAUUAAGAUAUAAAUCAACCUGCCAUGCAGAUUAGGAGAGUAUUGCAUCUUCAUGGAGUGGUAUUUUAACAGUAUGGAUACUCUCCUCUCAGUUGACCAACAACUUGUCUUCCACAUCUAAUUCACGGGAUCUCCGAUCAUAAAGAAUAGGUUACCACUAUGAACAACUCAUAUUGUGGGUCUCAUUCCCAUCUCCCUCGAUGCAUUAUCUAUCACAUUACGUGAUAGACCCUUAGUAAAAGGAUCUGCCAGAUUUUUAGACGUUUGGAUAUAAUCCAAUGCAAUAACUCUGGAGUUUUUCAUUUUUCUGACAGACUUUAACCUUCUCUGAACGUGUCUUGAUGACUUCAUGUUAUCCUUUGAGUUGCUCACUUUAGUGAUCACAGUUUGAUUGUCACAGUUCAUCCGGAUACCCGGUACAGGUUUCUCAACUACCGGUAAGUCAUUCAAGAGCCGACGAAGCCAAUCUGCUUCGACCGUACCUGUAUCUAGUGUUGUGAGUUCUGCUUCCAUUGUUGACCUCAUUAAGAUGGUCUGCUUGCAAGACUUCCAAGAAACAGCGCCACCUCCAUGAGUGAAUACAUAACCGCUCGUGGCCUUUAUCUCAUCAGCAUCUGAGAUCCAGUUUGAGUCACUAUACCCUUCAAGCACCUUUGGAUGCCAAGUGUAGUGAAUUCCAUAAUUUGCAGUGCCUUUUAAAUAACGCAAAACUCUCUCUAGAGCUUUCCAAUGCACAUCUCCUGGUUUUGAGACAAACCGGCUUAGUUAGCUAAUAGCAAAAGAGAUGUCAGGUCUCGUAGCACUGGCUAAGUACAUAAGCGAGCCAAUAAUCUGUGAAUAUUUCAAUUGGUCUCUAGUGAUUCUUCGAUUCUUUCGAAGCAACACACUAGCAUCAUAUGGUCUUGGAGAGGGCUUGCAGUCACUGUAGCCAAAGCGGCUCAAGAUCUUUUCCACAUAGUGAGAUUGAAGCAAUGUAAUCCCACCAUCAUCAUCUCUCAACAACUUGAUGUUCAGAAUGACAUCAGCCACUCCUAAAUCCUUCAUCUCAAAACAGCAAGAUAGGAAAUCCUUGACCUCCUUAAGAACAUUCAGAUUUGUUCCGAAAAUCAGUAUGUCAUCAACAUACAAGCAAAGCAUAACUCCCUUGCCCCCACCAUGGCGAUAGUACACACAUUUGUCAGCUUCGUUCACAACAAAGCCUGCAGCUAUUAAAGUUCUUUCGAACUUCUCAUGCCACUGUUUGGGUGCUUGCUUGAGUCCAUACAAAGACUUCAGCAACUUGCACACUUUCCCUUCCUGGCCAUCUAUUACAAACCCCUCUGGUUGUUCCAUAUAAAUUUCCUCAUCCAAAUCUCCAUUUAGGAAAGCAGUCUUAACAUCCAUUUGAUGAACGAGAAGACCAUGUGAGGCAGCUAGUGAAAGUAGACCUCGAAUAGUGGUCAGUCGAGCCACAGGUGAGUAAGUAUCAAAGAAAUCUUCACCUUCCUUUUGGUUAUAACCCUUUGCCACGAGCCGAGCCUUGUACUUUUCAUUAGUACCAUCAGGCCUAAGUUUCUUCUUGAAUACCCAUUUGCAUCCUAUAGGUUUGCACCCAUAAGGACGAUCAGUUAUCUCCCAAGUUUCAUUCGCCAAGAUGGAAUCCAUCUCGCUACGAAUCGCUUCCUUCCAGUAGUCAGCAUCUUCCGAUGCAUAGGCAUCCGAAAUAGAACUGGGAGUGUCAUCUAUGAGAUACACAAGAAAAUCAUCACCAAAGGACUUUGCUGUCCUCUGUCUCUUGCUCCUAGUAGGAACUUCAUUGUUCUCCUCCGCAGGACUUUCAAAGUGUUCCAUCGAAAUGGCAGGUUCAGUAAUUGUAACUGGUUCCUGAUUCGAUGAACUAGGCAUCUCCUAAUUAGAUGAGGUAGCCAUAUCCUUCAUGGGAAUGAUAUCUUCAAAGAAAGUCGCAUCAUUCGACUCCAUGAUCGUACCGACAUGCAUGUCAGAUACCUCAGAUUUUACAACCAAGAAUCUAUAGCCAAUGCUGUGAAAAGCAUAUCCCAGGAAAACACAAUCCACAGUCUUUGGUCCAAGCUUCCGCUUCUUUGGAAUUGGAACAUUGACUUUCGCCAAGCAACCCCAUGUUCGCAGAUAAGAGAGUUUUAACCUUUUCUUCUCCCAUUCCUCGAAUGGAGUUAUCUCUUUGUUCUUUGUGGGGACUCGAUUUAGGACAUGACAUGCUGUCAAUAUCGCCUCCCCCCACCAUGCCUUGGAGAGACCCGAUGUGGCGUUAACCAAAUCAGUUAGAGUACGGUUCUUUCUUUCGGCCACCCCAUUUGACUGAGGUGAGUAGGGAGGCGUCCUCUCAUGGAUUAUACCAUGUUCUGCACAAAAAGCAUCAAAUUCAUUGGAAAAAUACUCUCCACCACAGUCAGACCUAAGCCUCUUGAUUUUUCGAUCAAGUUGGUUUUCCACUUCAGCUUUAUAGAUCUUGAAAAAGUUCAAAGCCUCAUCCUUACAUUUCAGAAGAUACACAUGGCAGUAUCUAGUGGAGUCAUUAAUUAACGUCAUGCAAUAUUUCUUUCCACCUUUUGUCAAAACACCAUUCAUUUCACAUAGAUCUGAAUGUAUAAGUUCUAGUGGUGCAAGAUUUCUCGUCUCCGCAGUCACGUGAGACUUACGAGGUUGCUUAGCUUGCACACACACUUGACACUUAGAUCCUUGACAGUGGUGAAACCAGGGAUUAAGUUCAACUUCGCUAGUCGCGACAUGCAACCAAAGUUAACAUGACAAAGACGUGAAUGCCACACAUUUGAUUCACUAUUGUUGCAAAUAUGAUUAACAACUUUAUUGCAAACGUCUGAUAAGGAUAAACGAAACAGGCCUCCUGACUCAUAGCCUUUACCAACAAAGGUCCCAUACUUGGAUAUUACAAAUUUAUUCGACUCAAAGACAAGCUUAUAGCCAUCUCUACACAGAAGAGAUCCGCUAACAAGAUUUUUAUUGACGGAGGGGACAUAAUGCAUGUUCUUCAGCCGCACGAUCUUCCCUGAAGUAAACUUCAGAUCAACCAUGCCAACACCACGAACAGAAGCACUUGAACUGUUGCCCAUCAGCACGGUUGAAGUCCCUGCGGUCUGAUAAGAUGAAAACAUGGAAAUAUCACCGCAUACAUGCACAUUAGCACCCAUGUCAAUCAACCAACCAGGAGAAUGACAUACUGAAAGAAUAGUGGGAAAUAUACCAUACCCAGCAUCUUUCAUGUCAAUGUGUCCGAUGACAACAUUAGCGGUCUUGCCGCCUUUCCCAGGAUGACGCUUGUCAUAGCGAUUAGGACAACUAGGAGCCCAAUGAUCAGGAUCUCCAAACACAUGACAAGCACCUUUCUUCUUGUCAUUCUUCUUCUUGAAGUUCAUGUGCUGCACAGCCUUGUUCUUCCCAUCGAACUUUGCUUUACCAUCAAACUUGCCCUUGUUCUUGAACUUGUGGGACUGAAAGUUCUUCUUCUGUACCAGAUUGGCACUAGAUCCUCCCUCAAUACCUCGGGCACGUGUGUCCUUUGCUCUCGCCUUUUCUUCCACAUAAGAGUACCAAUGAGAUCCGGGACGGAAAACUCCUGUCUCUUAUGCUUCAGUAAGGUAGCAAAGUUCCUCCAUGAAGGAGGAAGCUUAGUGAUGAUACCCCCGGCAACAAACUUGUCCGGUAAGAUACAAUUGAAGUUCUCAAGUUCUCUAGCAAAAGACUGUAUCUCAUGAGCCUGCUCAACCAUGGAGCGCUCUUCAGUCAUCCUGUAAUCAUAGAAUUAUUCCAUGAUGUACAGCUCAGUGCCGGCAUCCGAGACCCCAAACUUGGCCUCGAGUGUGUCCCACAUAUCUUUUCAUUGUCAAUUGACGCAUAAGCAUCAACUAUGUUCUCACCAAGAACACUCAAAAGAGCAGCCUUAAACAAGGUAUCCAUUUUCUGGAAAUCUUGUGCCUGUUGGGCAUCUUGCUCUCCUUCAGGUUUGCCAAGAGUGGCGUCAUAGAAACUCAUGGUUUGAAACCAUAAGACUGCUCUCACACGCCACCUCUUAUAGUGAAUACCCUCAAACAUAGGAGGUCUCAUGGAAGCAGCAAAAUCACUCAGGGUAAAUUGCCUAUAAUAAGGUUUUUGGAUUGUUGGAAAUAUGAGCAAUUUACCGAAUGAUUUUAUUAACAAAAAUACUAGAUAAAGCAUGACUAAAAUAGCAAAUAUAAAGCAAGUCAUGCAGUCUGAGAGAUAGAAGGUAAACAUCGUCUGCAUAUAUGAACUUGAGCUAAACACAUCUAGAACAGACACUAGAUGAAGUUGCUUAUACGAAACAGAACCUAACAUACGUAGGGCAAAAUCUAGAGCCAAGAACUGUAGCAGGACUUCUAACAGAAAGGAGAAGAACACGUACGGCACAGCAGCAGCAGAAGCGCUGGACUUGGGUUGCUGUCCUCGCCUGCCAUGUCAUCGAGGAGGUCAUGGACGUCAGGGAAGAAGUCGUCGUCGGCGGGGAAGUAGUCGUCGGCGACCGGAUCGUCUGUGAUGAAGCAGCCAGUAGUCGCACUGAGCACUCCCCAAAAACCUUAUCACCCUUCUCUCGUACAAGACUCAAAAGGUGCGGUCGCGAAAGCCUACUGUCCCGACGUGCGGUGCACGCCGCAAGUCGGGAUGAGGAAGACAGCAGCAGCUCAGAGAUGGAACCGAUGGCGAGGGAAGGAGCAGUUCUGGUGCGUCUCUCUGAGAGGAGCGACCUCCCUUUUAUAGGCGCAAGAGAAGGAGGCGAGAGGCUGCGCCGAGAGCUGAAGGGAAUGCGGGAGACGAAACGAACAGGCAGCAGCCGAAGGGGCGCACCAUUCGGAUUCAGUGUCCAGGCACAGAAAAAAAAUGUUUCAGCUUUCGAGUGACCUUUCGUAUACCCGUAGUGCGUGGCAAAAAUUUAGACAUCGGCUCGGCUCAUUCCCGCAACCCGCGGCGCGGCGCAUCGUGACGAGGCGUGGUGAGGCAGGCGGCGGAGGAGGAGCGCACGUGGAUGUCCCUCUUGUUCUCAUGCUCAUACAAGUGGGGAAGGAGCCUCCCUUAUAAAGAGGUCCAACUCCCUCUAAACUAGCAAGGUGGGACUAAACUUUAGUUCCACCUCUUGCCUUGCACGAAUGGGCUGCAUGGGCCUCUAGGAUUUAUUAGGAAUUUCUAAAAUUGCUAUUGGGCUAGGCCCAAAUAGACAAAAAUUCCAGCAAUCCCCCACCAGAUCCCAGAGGCACAAAAAAUUUGCCUUUGGUUCCAAAACACUGUUUUAUAUACUGGUACAGCAGUGGAGACUGUUAAGUUGAACUUCCACCUAGAACCCUAUGCUACACUAGUAAGCAACUUGAACAGUGGACUGGGCCUUGAACUGCAAGUUUUCUGCAAAUCUAGCUUCACAUAAAGCCUUGACCGAUACGUGGCUACCGUGGGUCUUCCCCGCGGGUGGAGCUUAUGCGUCAUACUCCAUGACCUUUCAUUAGUUUACUAGAGAGAACCCUACUCUCAUAGAUUGCGACGUUUAACAAUCAGACUCAUAUAGGUGCGUUCUUCAAAAGAUGUUCUGCAGGACAACAUCUCUGCUUCAAAAAGCCACUUAGAACACAUUAAGAUAUAAAUCAACCUGCCAUGCAGAUUAGGAGAGUAUUGCAUCUUCAUGGAGUGGUAUUUUAACAGUAUGGAUACUCUCCUCUCAGUUGACUAACAGCUUGUCUUCCACAUCUAAUUCACGGGAUCUCCGAUCAUAAAGAAUAGAUUACCACUGUGAACAACUCAUAUUGUGGGUCUCAUUCCCAUCUCCCUCGAUGCAUUAUCUAUCACAUUACGUGAUAGACCCUUAGUAAAAGGAUCUGCCAGAUUUUUAGACGUUUGGAUAUGAUCCAAUGCAAUAACUCUGGAGUUUUUCAUUUUUCUGACAGACUAACCUUCUCUGAACGUGUCUUGAUGACUUCAUGUUAUCCUUUGAGUUGCUCACUUUAGUGAUCACAGUUUGAUUGUCACAGUUCAUCCGGAUACCCGAUACAGGUUUCUCAACUACCGGUAAGUCAUUCAAGAGCAGACGAAGCCAAUCCGCUUCAACCGUACAUGUAUCUAGUGUUGUGAGUUCUACUUCCAUUGUUGACCUCGUUAGAUGGUCUGCUUGCAAGACUUCCAAGAAACAGCGCCACCUCCAUGAGUGAAUACAUAACCGCUCGUGGCCUUUAUCUCAUCAACAUCUGAGAUCCAGUUUGAGUUACUAUACCCUUCAAGCACCUUUGGAUGCCCAGUGUAGUGAAUUCCAUAAUUUGCAGUGCCUUUCAAAUAACGCAAAACUCUCUCUAGAGCUUUCCAAUGCACAUCUCCUGGUUUUGAGACAAACCGGCUUAGUUAGCUAACAGCAAAAGAGAUGUCAGGUCUCAUAGCACUGGCUAAGUACAUAAGCGAGCCAAUAAUCUGUGAAUAUUUCAAUUGGUCUCUAGCGAUUCUUCGAUUCUUUCGAAGCAACACACUAGCAUCAUAUGGUGUUGGAGAGGGCUUGCAGUCACUAUAGCCAAAGCGGCUCAAGAUCUUUUCCACAUAGUGAGAUUGAAGCAAUGUAAUCCCACCAUCAUCAUCUCUCAACAACUUGAUGUUCAGAAUGAGAUCAGCCACUCCUAAAUCCUUCAUCUCAAAACAGCAAGAUAGGAAAUCCUUGACCUCCUUAAGAACAUUCAGAUUUGUUCCGAAAAUCAGUAUGUCAUCAACAUACAAGCAAAGCAUAACUCCCUCGCCCCCACCAUGGCGAUAGUACACACAUUUGUCAGCUUCGUUCACAACAAAGCCUGCAGCUAUUAAAGUUCUUUCGAACUUCUCAUGCCACUGUUUGGGUGCUUGCUUGAGUCCAUACAAAGACUUCAGCAACUUGCACACUUUCCCUUCCUGGCCAUCUAUUACAAACCCCUCUGGUUGUUCCAUAUAAAUUUCCUCAUCCAAAUCUCCAUUUAGGAAAGCAGUCUUAACAUCCAUUUGAUGAACGAGAAGACCAUGUGAGGUAGCUAGUGAAAGUAGACCUCGAAUAGUGGUCAGUCGAGCCACAGGUGAGUAAGUAUCAAAGAAGUCUUCACCUUCCUUUUGGGUAUAACCCUUUUCCAUGAGCCAAGCCUUGUACUUUUCAUUAGUACCAUCAGGCCUAAGUUUCUUCUUGAAUACCCAUUUGCAUCCUAUAGGUUUGCACCCAUAAGGACGAUCAGUUAUCUCCCAAGUUUCAUUCGCCAAGAUGGAGUCCAUCUCGCUACGAAUCGCUUCCUUCCAGUAGUCAGCAUCUUCCGAUGCAUAGGCAUCCGAAAUAGAACUGGGAGUGUCAUCUAUGAGAUACACAAGAAAAUCAUCAGCAAAGGACUUUGCUGUCCUCUGUCUCUUGCUCCUAGUAGGAACUUCAUUGUUCUCCUCCGCAGGACUUUCAAAGUGUUCCAUCGAAAUGGCAGGUUCAGUAAUUGUAACUGGUUCCUGAUUCGAUGAACUAGGCAUCUCCUAAUUAGAUGAGGUAGCCAUAUCCUUCAUGGGAAUGAUAUCUUCAAAGAAAGUCGCAUCAUUCGACUCCAUGAUCGUACCGACAUGCAUGUCAGAUACCUCAGAUUUUACAACCAAGAAUCUAUAGCCAAUGCUGUGAAAAGCAUAUCCCAGGAAAACACAAUCAACAGUCUUUGGUCCAAGCUUCCGCUUCUUUGGAAUUGGAACAUUGACUUUCGCCAAGCAACCCCAUGUUCGCAGAUAAGAGAGUUUUAACCUUUUCUUCUCCCAUUCCUCGAAUGGAGUUAUCUCUUUGUUCUUUGUGGGGACUCGAUUUAGGACAUGACAUGCUGUCAAUAUCGCCUCCCCCCACCAUGCCUUGGAGAGACCCGAUGUGGCGUUAACCAAAUCAGUUAGAGUACGGUUCUUUCUUUCGGCCACCCCAUUUGACUGAGGUGAGUAGGGAUGCGUCCUCUCAUGGAUUAUACCUUGUUCUGCACAAAAAGCAUCAAAUUCAUUGGAAAAAUACUCUCCACCACGGUCAGACCUAAGCCUCUUGAUUUUUCGAUCAAGUUGGUUUUCCACUUCAGCUUUAUAGAUCUUGAAAAAGUUCAAAUCCUCAUCCUUACAUUUCAGAAGAUACACAUGGCAGUAUCUAGUGGAGUCGUUAAUUAACGUCAUGAAAUAUUUCUUUCCACGUUUUGUCAAAACACCAUUCAUUUCACAUAGAUCUGAAUGUAUAAGUUCUAGUGGUGCAAGAUUUCUCGUCUCCGCAGUCAUGUGAGACUUACGAGGUUGCUUAGCUUGCACACACACUUGACACUUAGAUCCCUUGACAGUGGUGAAACUAGGGAUUAAGUUCAACUUCGCUAGCCGCGACAUGCAACCAAAGUUAACAUGACAAAGACGUGAAUGCCACACAUUUGAUUCACUAUUGUUGCAAAUAUGAUUAACAACUUUAUUGCAAAUGUCUGAUAAGGAUAAACGAAACAGGCUUCCUGACUCAUAGCCUUUGCCAACAAAAGUUCCAUACUGGGAUAUUACAAAUUUAUUCGACUCAAAUACAAGCUUAUAGCCAUCUCUACACAGAAGAGAUCCGCUAACAAGAUUGUUAUUGACGGAGGGGACAUAAUGCACGUUCUUCAGCCGCACGAUCUUCCCCGAAGUAAACUUCAGAUCGACCAUGCCAACACCACGAACAGAAGCACUUGAACCGUUGCCCAUCAGCACGGUUGAAGUCCCUGCGGUCUGAUCAGAUGAAAACAUGGAAAUAUCACUGCAUACAUGCACAUUAGCACCCAUGUCAAUCAACCAAUCAGGAGAAUGACAUACUGAAAGAAUAGUGGGAAAUAUACCAUACCCAGCAUCUUUCAUGUCAAUGUCUCCGAUGACAACAUUAGCGGUCUUGCCGCCUUUCCCAGGAUGACGCUUGUCAUAGAGAUUAGGACAAAUAGGAGCCCAAUGAUCAGGCUCUCCACACACAUGACAAGCACCUUUCUUCUUGUCAUUCUUCUUCUUGAAGUUCGUGUGCUGCACAGCCUUGUUCUUCCCAUCGAACUUUGCUUUACCAUCAAACUUGCCCUUGUUCUAGAACUUGUGGGACUGGAAGUUCUUCUUCUGUACUAGAUUGGCACUAGAUCCUCCCUCAAUACCUCGAGCACGUGUGUCCUUUGCUCUCGCCUUUUCUUCCACAUCAAGAGUACCAAUGAGUUCCGGGACGGAAAACUCCUGUCUCUUAUGCUUCAGUAAGGUAGCAAAGUUCCUCCACGAAGGAGGAAGCUUAGUGAUGAUACCCCCGGCAACAAACUUGUCCGGUAAGAUACAAUUGAAGUGCUCAAGUUCUCUAGCAAAGGACUGUAUCUCAUGAUCCUGCUCAACCACGGAGCGCUCUUCAGUCAUCAUGUAAUCAUAGAAUUGCUCCAUGAUGUACAAUUCAGUGCCGGCAUCCGAGACCCCAAACUUGGCCUCAAGUGCGUCCCACAUAUCUUUUCUAUUGUCAAUUGACGCAUAAGCAUCAACUAUGUUCUCACCAAGAACACUCAAAAGAGCAGCCUUAAACAAGGUAUCCAUUUUCAGAAAAGCUUGUGCCUGUUGGGCAUCUUGCUCUCCUUCAGGUUUGCCAAGAGUGGCGUCAUAGCAACUCAUGGUUUGAAACCAUAAGACUGCUCUCACGCGCCACCUCUUAUAGUGGAUACCCUCAAACAUACGAGCUCUCAUGGAAGCAGCAAAACCACUCGGGGUAAAUUGCCUAUAAUAAGGUUUUUGGAUUGUUGGAAAUAUGAGCAAUUUACCGAAUGAUUUUAUUAACAAAAAUACUAGAUAAAGCAUGACUAAAAUAGCAAAUAUAAAACAAGUCAUGCAGUCUGACAGAGAGAAGGUAAACAUCGUCUGCAUAUAUGAACUUGAGCUAAACACAUCUAGAACAUACACUAGAUGAAGUUGCUUAUACGAAACAGAACCUAACAUACGUAGGGCAGAAACUAGAGCCAAGAACUGUAGCAGGACUUCUAACAGAAAGGAGAAGAACACGUACGGCAUAGCAGCAGCAGAAGCGCUGGACUUCGGGUCGGUGUCCUCGCCUGCCAUGUCGUCGAGGAGGUCGUGGACGUCGGGGAAGAAGUCGUCGUCGGGGAAGUAGUCGUCGGCGACCGGAUCGUCCGUGAUGAAGCAGCCAGUAGUCGCGCUGAGCGCUCCCCAAAAACCUUAUCACCCUUCUCCCGUACAGGACUCAAAAGGUGCGGUCUCGGAGGCCUACUAUCCCGACGUGCGGUGCACGCCGCAAGUCGGGAUGAGGAAGACAGCAGCAGCUCAGAGAUGGAACCGAUGGCGAGGGAAGGAGCAGUUCUGGUGCGUCUCUCUGAGAGGAGCGACCUCCCUUUUAUAGGCGCAAGAGAAGGAGGCGAGAGGCUGCGCCGGGAGCUGAAGGGAAUGCGGGAGACGAAACGAACAUGCAGCAGCCGAAGGGGCGCGCCUUCGGAUUCAGUGUCCAGGCACAGAAAAAAAUGUUUCAGCUUCCGAGUGACCUUUCGUAUACCCGUAGUGCGUGGCAAAAAUUUAGACAUCGGCUCGGCUCAUUCCCGCAACCCGCGGCGCGGCAUGACGAGGCGUGGUGAGGCGGGCGGCGGAGGAGGAGCGCGCGUGGAUGUCCCUCUUGUUCUCAUGCUCAUACAAGUGGAGAAGGAGCCUCCCUUAUAAAGAGGUCCAACUCCCUCUAAACUAGCAAGGUGGGACUAAACUUUAGUUCCACCUCUUGCCUUGCACGAAUGGGCUGCGUGGUCCUCUAGGAUUUAUUAGGAAUUUCUGAAACUGCUAUUGUGCUAGGCCCAAAUAGACAAAAAUUCCAGCAGUUUGUGUUCUUCAGGUCUCCACUUGCCAUGAUAUUGCGGCUGGGCUUCGGGUAUGUGUUACCACUGAUACAUCAUUCCAAACUACUAAUGAAUUGGUCUCUGAUGUCUUCUUCUCAAUUUUAACUAGGGCCUGCUUCUGUUUGCACCAAUUCGAGAUAGUGGUUGUGGAAUGCAGCAGCCAAGACAACAAGGUCAGGCUCGGCUUAGGUAUGAUGACAAACAAAAUUAGAUUCGGAUGGUUCCUUACAUCUUCCUCUCAGAAUCAAGAGUGAUAAUACUUUUUUGGUGCUCCGGCUUCUGCAGUUUCUGAAGAACUGAUUCGUUGUUCAGGCAUUUCAUGCAUUUGGAGUUCACAGGUAUCUAAGUUUCUCUGACUGUGUUUUCAAAUAAUUGAUACUUGACAUUAGGAUUUUUGGCUGAACAAAUCAUCUUAGACAUAAGUAGAACCCGGCAAAUUGUGAGACAGAGCUAAUUGAUACACAGUUUAGAAAAUAGAACUGAACAAUUCUUGGUAGUCACUAUUGAUUAGCUAUGUGCGUACCUUAAGUUCCUUACUACUUAUUUUAAUUGUUAGUACUUGAAGGUUUGAAUAAUUAUUAUUACCAAGUUACAUGUUGAUCACUACUUAUUAUGAAAAUGUAUGUCCAUGGUUUAAAGGAGCUUUAUUGUUUCAGUCUAUACUAAGUUAUUUGUCGGUUAUACUGGAGCUUAUAUUGUUCCCUCUUUGAUCUAGACAUCAAAUAUUCUAAGCUUCAUUUUUGUGAGCAAACGGUUCUAUGCUUCCUUUUUGUGAACAUUGCUCCAUAAAUAGUAGUGGCAUUUACUAUGCAGAUGAUACUGACAAAUUAUCAUACAAGUCCGCAUUAAUAUUCAGUCAGUAGGUUAUUGAAGAAGGCCGGAGAUCGCGUGGAGCACCAACAAUAACCUCAAGUAGAUGCAGCAGAGACAUGUGAUGAACUAUCAUAUGUUUCCUAAUCUGAAUGUUUGCUCCAAUCGCUUGAUUGUUUGAUCUGGUUUGUUGUGACAAUACAAUGAUUUUCUAUGUUCUUUUUGUGGUGCAAUCUCCGUUGAUUUGGAAAGAUGGGGACUUUCUGUUGAGCUAUUUCGAUCGGCCAUUGGCCAUAACAUUCCAAAUUCCUUAUUUUGUUUCCUCUUUUUCGCGGCUUCAUUUUACGUGUCUCACUAAAGGUGGGCAUGACUUGAAAAGGGAGGCAAACAAAACUGCCAAGAUGCAUCUCUUUUGCAGCAGAAGAAGAGGCACUGAUGAGAGGUGGAAAAGGAGGGGCAAAGAAGGAAGCCAUGGGCAUGUGCCGCCUACCGACCAUGAAUAUCAACAAUGACAAUGACGACUAGCUUGUGUGCGUGUGAGAGAGGGAGGGAGAGGGAGUCAAAACAAAAUGAUGUAUAUCUUUACUACAUUAUAAAAUGGGAUUUGGUGAGCUAUUUGUCCUUUAUGAUUCAUGAGAUUUUAAUUCUAUAGUGUUUUUUGCUCUUAAUAUAUUAUUGUGGUUAUAGAUUUAUCAUUGACACAAUAUAUGUAGAAACUUUUUUGAUCUAAAUAAGAAGAACAAAAGUUUACGGGAUGCUUUUUGAUCGUUCCCUUUACCUAGCUUCCAAUUUCUAUUGUCAGAAACACAUUUUUUUUGUUCCUAUAGGAAACAUAUGCAAAUAAAAGAUUUGCCGAAGCUUUUUGAGUCCCUGAUGCAUACUAAAUACAGUCCUAGAACAAUAUGCUUAUGCAUAAUAACAAGCUGGAAAAUUGCUCCAAAAUAACACUUAAAACAUAUAAAAGAACAAAAAAAUCCAUUCUGAAUUCUAAAAUGAUCUUUCAAUGUAUGCAGCAAACUGCUUCCUUUAUAAUCUGACAAAACUCGCAGGACUUAUCAUGACGCAUGAAAGGAUAUAGUAAACCAUCACACCGAAGCCGAGGUUGGCUUUGUUUCCUUAUUUUUGCGAGAAGGUGUCAUAGUUCUACUAUUUUGAUUAGCCAUCUAGAGGGAUGACAGUGCAUGCAAUCAUUUAAAUAAAAUAAUACAAAGAUGCUGCAUGAGUCAUCAAUUCAAACAAGAACUUGUUUCAUGUGAUUUUUUGUGUAAAGUGGAAACAAAUUAUUUUUAUAACAACUAAUUCGACAACACAAGUGCUACACCGUGAUCAGUAUAUGCAUAUGAUACGAUCUAGCUAUUUUCCUUUGCACGGGUGGUUUUUAUCAUGAGGUAGGAGGGUUCGUACAAGUCGACUAUCAGCUCUCAUGCAAUGCUUUAAAAAGAAAAACGAGAGGAAUUUGUGAAUUUUUGUAUAACAUUGCAAAUUAUAUGAAAAAACUUUUUAAUUUGUCAGAACUUUUAGGAGGGAGUGAGUGGCAAAUGUUGGAAGACAUUCAAAGUUAGGAUGAUGGGAAUGCCUAUGGCAAUUUGGAGAACUUGGAGAAAACAUAUGCGAACUUGAGCUAGGUAGCAAUGUAGAGCUUAAUUAAGCUAAAUGGUUCAUAUUCAUUUGUUAGUCCAUGAGUUCGAGAUGAUGGACUCAACAAUUGGAUAGAUUUGGAGGGAACACGAAUUUGGAGUAGUGUGACAACAUAGCGAAGUAAUGACACAAUGGUCGAAGGGCUGAAGUUGAGGGGCUUGUGAUAGAUCCAUUUGUUGGCCCGUGGCUGCGCACGGGCGUUCUACUAGUAAUCAUUGGUGGCUUCUUUGACCACCAGACGGCUUAUUGACUUCUUCCACUCGAGGAUCACCGUGGAGCAAUCCUUCUUCCCCUUCCUACAGAAGCACGCCAACCACAAACAAAUGCUCAAAAAGACCUUAGCAAAUGCCAUUGAACUAGAUUGUAGGCAAGAGGAAUCUUAUUAGUUGGUAGAUGUAGAUGUCGAGGCCUCAUCAUUGCUUGCCAGAGGCCUCAUGUGUAUGUCGUGCGUCCCACCAGAGGCCUCUUUUAAUUAGAGGAAGGGCGGUGCGGAGAAGACAUCAUUAGUCACCCUGGGAGAAGAAAGUUCGGUGGCGGUGCGUGUAAAGAGGAGACUUUGGUAGUUUCUGGUGGAGUUGUGGUAGCCGUAGGGACGACGAGAGUGAGAGAGGACUGGGGACGGAGGAGAGGUGAUGGAUGGAAAAAAAUUGGGUGAUUGAGGACGAAAACCAAGAUGAAAANNNNNNNNNNNNNNNNNNNNNNNNNNNNNNNNNNNNNNNNNNNNNNNNNNNNNNNNNNNNNNNNNNNNNNNNNNNNNNNNNNNNNNNNNNNNNNNNNNNNNNNNNNNNNNNNNNNNNNNNNNNNNNNNNNNNNNNNNNNNNNNNNNNNNNNNNNNNNNNNNNNNNNNNNNNNNNNNNNNNNNNNNNNNNNNNNNNNNNNNNNNNNNNNNNNNNNNNNNACUAGAUGUCUCUGUAGUGAAGUAAUAUGAGCAUAACUUAAUUGAUCAGUGUAAAACUUUGAAUUGGUUAAGUAUACUACACUAAAGUAAGUUGUAAAGCCUAAUUGCAAUUAUAUCUUUGAGGGCAAUGCUUAUGAGUUGCGUGACAAUCUUGUCUGUUCUGGAUCUUGCAUCUGAUUCUAAUUAAACAGUACAUGUUAGAUGUUUUUAAUGAGGUCCACGUUAGAUUUGAUUGUUAAUUUAUAGUGCGGGUGAAAGCGGAUUCUAUCCUUUUCGUCUGCCAUUUUUCCUUUCAUAAAAUGUGUCCAUGGAGUAAUUCUCCACAAAAACAAACUUAACUGGACAAAAUAUCCACGGCAAGUCGCAUAUCUUGUGCAACUGUUCACUGUUGAAAGCUUAUUGUGCCACUACCCAUCAUUGCAAGGAAAAAAUACAGAAGAUUUAUGUUCUACCAAAUACAUUCUUUUGUUCAGAUUUAGCCAGGUAUGAUCCUGGUUGCGUCAGCCAUUAGAGUACAUUGCGAUCGACUAGACAGUUUCAGUGCUCAUCUUGCCUACUUUUGCAGCACUAGAUUUGCGAUCAGGUAGAUAAACACAACAACAAAGGAGACGACAGAUGCCAGCGGCCCAUAUUUCCCAAGAAUUCUCUGUGGGUUAAUUCCAUAAUACGGAUUGAAUUCUCUACUGGCACGGAAUCCAGCAACAAGGGCCACACCAUGCUGACACUAGCAGCUAUGUGUUGCUCCCGUGGGCAAGACCUGCCCAAGGAGGAUAGGUAAGAGAAAUGGCUGAAGACACACCAACACCUGGCAACAUGUAGGUUCAUAUUUCACCCCCACCCUUGGAUAAAACCGUGAAUCAUUUGAAACAUAUUAAAACUUGAGUGCAUUUUUUAUUUUGGAGAAAUAUAUAUGCUCACAAGAGCUUAGGAGUCACACGUCGGUUCUAGGUAAUUAAACAAACAAGAACAUUCACUUGUUGAGAAAUUUUACCACCUCUUCUUGCUUCUUUUAUGACACUAGAACUUGACGGGCUUUGGGUCACCUCCUUUUCGGUUUAUAAGGCUUGCGCGUAUCUCUAGGUUGACAAAUAGACCAACUUAAUACAAGUUGUAUAUCACAAAAAAUAUAUAAUUAGGAACUUCAAAUCGUAUACUUUCUAAUGGUAUAAUUUUUAGACUAUACAACUCAUGUUAUGUUGGUCAAGUUAUAGAUCCAGGGAUAUGUACAAGCCUUAUAAACCGGAAAGGAGGUAUGUUAGUAGAUAAACAUGCCAAUUAAGGACUUCUUGACAAGUCUAUGCAGAUUAAAGGUAUGUUAGUAGAUGGUGUAAUAAAUACAUGCUUUUAGCUAUCUAAGGAUACAAAUAUGCCACUAUUUACUUUGUAAAUGCUCGAAAUCAUUCUCAGAAAUUUUAGUAACAACAGUUGUCAUGAACAACUUGGACUAAAUGCAUCAAAUGUUACAAAUAAUACAUAAAAACAUUCAAAUGUACUUAGAGUGAAUCAAUUAAGACGUGUAAAGCUAGUACUAAUCCAAUAUUUCUUAAUGACUUGCAUAUACUUACAACACUUGACGUAAAGAGUGAAUCAAUUAAGACGUGCAAAGCCAGUACUAAUCCAAUUUUAUUAAUAGCUUCCACAAAAUUACAACACGUGGCGUAAAAAGGGAAUAUGAUGAGUCAUGUAUUGAUAACGUGUACAACAUUACUACCCUUGACAUAAAAAGAGAAGUUGAUGAGUCAUGUCUUAAUAACGUGUACAACAUUACUAUCAGCUUGUUCAUCUUACCAUCAUACUAUACAACACUAUAAGUUAGUUUAAAAAAGAAUAAGAGUCCAGAACAAACAUCACAAUACUAGCCUGAUCUAUAUUAACAACAUGCACAAGGACACAAAUUUAGUUCCCCGCAAGCUAUGAAGAUUUGGUUUAUGUCUAACAACUUGUACAAUAUGACAAACUUAGAUCCAAAAGGAAUGCAAACCAGAUAAUUGUAAUGCAAUCCAGAUAAUUAUUUGACAUGCAAAGUGAAUAAGAUGAGUCACUACCAAUUAUCAAGUUUUCCUCACUCUUAGAUGAUAUGAACCAUAAAAAGGCAACUUUGAUGAUCACUCCAUAAUUACGUUUGUAUGUAGUGCCACCAAACACAACACACAAAAUAAUUAGUUCGAUAAGCAUCGAAUCACUUUAAAAAGGAAAGCAAAAAUGGAAAGAAACCUAACCAUGGGAGCUAUAAAAAGGCCUGCAAUAUGUAGACUCCAUACCAUCAUCCAUCCUUCACACAACUAGAGCACAAGUAUCAAAUCCAAGUACGUAGUGGUUAACGCAAAUUAACCAUGAAGACCUUACUCAUCCUAACAAUCCUUGUGAUGGCAGUAACCAUCGGCACCGCCAAUAUGCAGGUCGACCCUAGCGGCCAAGUACAAUGGCCACAACAACAACCAGUCCUGCUGCCUCAGCAACCAUUCUCCCAGCAACCACAACAAACAUUUCCCCAACCCCAACAAACAUUCCCCCAUCAACCACAACAACAAUUUCCCCAGCCUCAACAACCACAACAACAAUUUCUCCAGCCACAACAACCAUUCCCCCAACAACCACAACAACCAUAUCCCCAGCAACCACAACAACCAUUCCCCCAGACUCAACAACCCCAACAACUAUUUCCCCAGUCCCAGCAACCACAACAACCAUAUCCCCAGCAACCACAACAACCAUUCCCCCAGACUCAACAACCCCAACAACAAUUUCCCCAAUCCCAGCAACCACAAUAACCAUUUCCCCAACCCCAACAACCGCAACAAUCAUUCCCCCAGCAACAACCAUCGUUCAUUCAGCCAUCUCUACAACAACAGCUGAACCCAUGCAAGAAUUUACUCUUGCAGCAAUGCAGACCUGUGUCAUUGGUCUCAUCCCUCUGGUCAAUGAUCUGGCCACAAAGCGCUUGCCAAGUGAUGAGGCAACAAUGCUGCCAACAACUAGCACAGAUUCCUCAGCAGCUCCAGUGUGCAGCCAUCCAUAGCGUCGUGCAUUCCAUCAGCAUGUAGCAAGAACAACAACAACAACAACAACAACAACAACAACAACAACAACAACAACAACAACAACAACAACAACAACAACAACAACAACAACAACAACAACAAGGCAUGCGUAUCCUGCUGCCACUAUAUCAGCAACAACAGGUGGGUCAAGGUACUCUCGUCCAGGGCCAGGGCAUCAUCCAACCCCAACAACCAGCUCAAUUGGAGGCGAUCAGGUCAUUGGUGUUGCAAACUCUUCCAACCAUGUGCAACGUGUAUGUCCCACCUGAGUGCUCUAUCAUCAAGGCACCAUUUGCCAGCAUAGUCACCGGAAUUGGUGGCCAAUGAAAAACGCAAGAGCCAUACUAAUAGGUAGAUGGAUCAUCGUUGCUUAGCUGAUUUACCAAUCGAUGUAACGAUGCCAAAUAAACUGGUGUGCACCAUCAUGUGUCAUCCUGACCAGUGCUAGUUCAAGAUUGGGAAUAAAAGAGAAGAACGUUCAUGUUUGCCAACAUUGCUUGUCAUUGUUCCAUUCACUGUGUAUUUAUAUUUUCAUCCUGAACUGCAAUUCUAGUCUUACACAUCAAUAGCUAGUUGCUCAUGUCGGCAGGUUCCUAUGUAAUCUAAUGAUUAAUGGUCGACCUAUUAAUCUAGUUUAUCGGCCGAUUGAUCUAUUAAUUGGUGCUCCCAAGCCGACCGAGCAGCCAUCAGUUACCGAUUUCCUGAACAUUGCACACAAUAAUAAUUCAACGUAUUUCAAUGUCUAGAAGUAAAAGGGCCAUAUAAGCAGUAAAACAAGCGCCUGAUUAGAAACCAUCCAUCACUUUAAAUUAAUCUAGAUAUUUUUGUGUUGGUGCAAUUUUGAGUUGAUGGCACCGACACAUUCUUGAAAGAAAUUCUACAGGGAACUCCAAAGAGGUGAAAAUCAAACUAAAGUUGCCACAUGGUAAAAGAUAAAUCAUGCGGCAAGCAAGAGGAAAUAUUGAGUCACAAUAGCUAGCGCCAAACAUGUAAUUAAACUAUUCUUAUGGUUUCUUGCAAAGAGGGAAGUAAUUUACAGAUGACAAACAAAACGUAAUUAGCAUUAGUUCUAAUUGAUUGUAGAAAUUUCUUUUAUCGGUAGAAUAACUCAGUUGUUAUUUAUUUAAACAUGCACUGUGAUAUUGACUUAUCUCAAUCUAGGAACACAAAGCAAAUACUACAUUUGCUGCUAUGGACUCCAAACAGAUGAGAAAUCAUUAUGUGUAGAAGUUCCUUAGAAGGAUAUUUUGGCCUAAACAAAUUUAACAUUGUACUCGUGUCUUACAUAGUUAAAGCUGAAAAAUCAACAUAACCAGUGGACACUUUGUAAGACAAGUGUGGGAAACAAAUAGUAGGAUAUAAAUUUGAGUAGAAUGUUUGCUCAAAUGUUGAAAAAAUAACCCAGCAAACUAAAACUCAGCAAAACAGUCUAUUCUACCUUAUACGGACUGUCACAAUGAUAAUGCUAUGUUUUUUUGGAAUACAAAUUCAAAAAAAAUCAGCCACAGAUCCCUGAGCCCAUCCAACAGGAGAGCUUCAAUUGAAAGAAGUAUUAGUUCGAUUAGACCAUGUAGUACCUAAAGGAGGAUGGUGGCCCCAUGGAACAACUCCAGCCUUUCCAUUGUGUCCGGGCGCAAUGCGAUAAUGGAGUUAUGGUCAUUGGUGGCUUCGCUGGCCAUAGACGGCUUAUUGACUUCUUCCACUUGAGGAUCACCGUGAACCAGUCCUUCUUCCCCAUCCUACAUAAGCAUGCCAACCACAAAUAAAUGCUCAAAAAGACCAUCUUAAAUGUCAUUGAACCGGAUUAUGGGAGGCAGAAUCUUAUGACUCGGUGGAUGCAGAUAUCGAGGCCUCAUUUGUAUGUUGUGCCUCCCACCAGAGGUGUCUUCUAAUUAGAGUGGUGCGAGAAGACAAUAUAAGCCACCGUGCAAGCGAAACAAUUAGGAGGCACUGCUUGUAAAGCGGAGAAUUUGGCACUGUCUGGUGGCAUUGCGGUAGCCGCAGGGUGGAAGAGAGAGAGGGAGGGAGGGAGGGAGGAUGAAUCGGAAAACCAGGAGCAGGGGUGAUCAACGAUGAAAACCAAGAUGAAAAAACAAUGUGCAAGAGAGGAAGAGGAAUAGGCUAGCUAUUUCUGUAGUGAAGUAAUAUGAGCAUAACUUAACCCAUAGGUGUGGAACUUGGAUUCGGUUGAAGUAUAUACUAUACUAAAGUAAGCUGACUAAUUGCAAUUUAAAUCUUUGGUGGCAAUGCUUAUGAGUUGUGAGGCCAUCUUGACUAUUCUGGAUCUUGCAUAUGAUUCUAAUUAAACAGUAUAUGUCAGAUGUUUUUAAAGAGGCACACAUUAUAUUUGAUUGUUGAUUUACACAUUCUAAUUAAACAUUAUAUGUCAGAUGUUUCUAAUGAGGCCCACGUUAGAUUUGUAUGUUGAUUUACAAAGGGAUUGAUAAGUUGAUUCUAUCCUUUUUCCUCUGCCAUUCUUCCUUUCAUAAAAUGUGUCCAUCGAGUAAUUAUCCACAAUAACAAACAUGACUAGACAAAAUAUCCACGACAAGUUGCAUAUCUUGUGCAACUGUUCACUGGUGAAAGGCUAUUGUGCCACUAUCCAUCAUUGCAAGGAAAAAACACAAAAGAUUUAUGUUCUAUCAAAUAUAUUAUUUUGUUUGGAUUUAGCCAGGUAAGAUCCUGGUUGCGUCGGCCAUUAGAGUACCUUGCGAUCGACUAGACAGUUUCAGCAUAUCUUCUUGCCUCCUUUUGCAUCACUAGAUUUCGAUGGGCUUGCGAACAGGAAGAUAAACACGGCAACAAAGGAGACGAGAGAUGCCAGUGAUCCAUAUUUCCAAAUAAUUCUCUGCAAGUGAAUUCCAAAGAAUGCAUUGAAUUUUGUGCUGGCGUAGAAUCCAGCAGCAAGGGAAACACCAUGCUGACGCUAGGAGCUACGUGCUGCUACCGCGAGCUCCCAUGGCAAGACCUGCCCAGGGAGGACCGGCAAGAGAAACGGCUGAAGACACACCAAGACCCGGCAACAUGUAGGUUCAUAUUUCACCCCCACCCUCAGAUAAAAAUGUGAAUCAUUUCAAACAUAUUAAAACUUGAGUGGAUUUUUUUAUUUCGGAAAAAUAUGCCCACAAGAGCUCAGGAGUCAACGUCAGUUCUAGGUAAUUAAACAAACAAGAAGAUUGACUUGUUGAGCAAUUUUACUACAUUUUCUUGCUUCCUUUUACGACACUAGAACUUGAUGGACUUCCGGUCAGCUAGAUAAACAUGCCAAUAAAGGACUUCUUGACAAGUCUGUGCAGAUUAAAGGUAUGUUAGUAGGUGGUGUAAUAACACAUGAUUUUAGCUAUCUAAGGAUACAAAUAUGCCACUAUUUAUUUUGUAAAUGCUGGAAAUCAUUGUCGGAAAUCUUAGUAACAACAGUUGUCAUGAACAACUUCGACUAAAUGCAUCAAAUGUUAGGAAUAAUACAUACUAACUUAGUUCAAUAAAUUAACCUAUUGAAGCAAGAAAAGAAACCUUGAAAUGUACUUAGAGUGAAUCAAUUAAGACAUGCAAAGCCAGUACUAAUCCAGUUUUAUUAAUAACUUCCACAAAAUUACAACACGUGACGUAAAAAGGGAAUAUGAUAGGUCAUGUAUUGAUAACGUGUACAACAUUACUACCCUUGACAUAAAAAGAGAAGUUGAUGAGUCAUGUCUCAAUAACGUGUACAACAUUACUAUCAGCUUGUUCAUCUUACCAUCAUACUAUACAACACUACGAGUUAGUUUAAAAAGGAAUAAGAGUUCAGAAUGAACAUGACAGUACUAGCCUAAUCUAUCUUAACAACAUGCACAAGGACACAAAGUUUGUCUGCCACAAGAUAUGAAGAUUUGGUUUAUGUCUAACAACUUGUAUAACAUGACAAACUUAGAUCCAAAGGGAACACAAUCCAUAUAAUUGUUUGACAUGUAAAGUGAAUAAGAUGAGUCAGUGCCAAUUAUCAAGUUUUCCUCACUCUUAGAUAAUAUGAGUAGCAAAAAGGCAACUUUGAUGAUCACUCCAAAAUUACGAUUGUAUGCCGUGCCACCAAACACAACACACCAAAAAAUUAGUUCGAUAAGCAUUGAAUCACUUUAAAAAAGGAAAGCAGUGAUGAAAAGAAACCUAGCCAUGGUGGCUAUAAAAAGGCCUGCAAUAUGUGAGCUCCAUACCAUCAUCCAUCCUUCACACAACUAGAGCACAAGCAUCAAAUCCAAGUAGGUAGUAGUUAACGCAAAUCCACCAUGAAGACCUUACUCAUCCUGACAAUCCUUGCGAUGGCAAUAACCAUCGCCACCGCCAAUAUGCAGGCCGACCCUAGCGGCCAAGUACAAUGGCCGCAACAACAACCAUUCCUGCAGCCUCACCAACCAUUCUCCCAGCAACCACAACAAAUAUUUCCCCAACCCCAACAAACAUUCCCCCAUCAACCACAACAACAAUUUCCCCAGCCUCAGCAACCACAACAACAAUUUCUCCAGCCCCGACAACCAUUCCCCCAACAACCACAACAACCAUAUCCCCAGCAACCACAACAACCGUUCCCCCAGACUCAACAACCCCAACAACCAUUUCCCCAGUCCAAGCAACCACAACAACCUUUUCCCCAGCCCCAACAACCGCAACAAUCAUUCCCCCAACAACAACCAUCGUUGAUUCAACAAUCUCUACAACAACAGUUGAACCCAUGCAAGAAUUUCCUCUUGCAGCAAUGCAAAC